Molecule: long non-coding RNA, 72190 nt
Filed under: Xyrichtys novacula (pearly razorfish)
Lineage: Eukaryota; Metazoa; Chordata; Actinopteri; Labriformes; Labridae
Source: RNAcentral
GGUACAGGCACUACAGGUUCACGAGAGGGAGGUGGAACACUAACGCUAGCCAAGACAGGAUUAGCGGCUAACGCUGAGCCUGGGGGAGCAGUCUUAGCAAUUUGACCAGCCAACCCUCUUAACUGGGUGGUUAGUUCAGAGAUCUGAUUAAGCAUAACAUGAUUACUACUGACCAGGGAACGCAACAAUUCAUCAUGUUGAGCUAACACGCAUUCCUGAUUAGCAAUAGCUUGUUGAAACGUGGUAGCGGGGGAGACUGCCUCCGCGCCAGUCUCUUUGUCUGCUGAGCUCAUCUUGGCUGGACCGUACUGUCACGGUUCAGGCACCGAGGCUCAAAUGCGGACAAAGAGACUCAAGUCAGAGCAGUUCAGUUAAACAGAUAUUUAUUUGGUCCAAAAAUGCAAACAGAAAUAGGAAAACGGAACUAAGGUGGGCAGUAACAAUUAACAAAAAGCGCUGUCUGAAAAACGCGAGACAGGAUCAGUAAUAACUAACAAAAACGCUGUCUGUAAAAACGCAAGACUGGAACAGUAAUAAUUAACCAAAAAGCGCUGUCUGCAAAACGCGAGACUGGAACAGUAAUAAUUAACAAAAGCGCUGUCUGCAAAAACGCGAGACAGGAUCAGAACAAUUAACAAAAAACGCUGUCUGCAAAACGCGAGACAGGGUCAGAACAAAUAACAAAAAGCGCUGUCUGCAAAACGCGAGACAGGGUCGGGUACUACCAGAGCUAGCGAGAGAGUGAGUGAGCAGGCAGUCCGUGAACUCCGACUGGAGGGAGAGAGGCAGGUGGUGAUGGCGUGAGGCGGCGUCCUGGACGGAGCUGGGAUGAAGAGCAGGAGAGCUGGGUACGCAGACGGCAAGAGCAGGCGGAGUGGGCAAGGGAUUUUCAGGUUACGGUCCAGCGUCGGGUUGUGGGAAGCGUCUGGUUUUUAUGGCAGCGGGUGAAUGAAUGAGAGCGCUCCUCUCCCCGCCACACGGAUCGAUCCGCUGAUUAGUAAGUGGCUGCACCUGUCCGCCCUGAAGCUGCAUCACACCAACACCUGCUUAGAGAGAGGGAGAAAGAGAAGAGGGAGGGGGGAGAAGAGAAAAGAGAGGCUGCCCCUAUCUGGCCCUAGAAGUAGAGGGCGUGACACUUAUACCUCCAGCAUUUGCUUUUUUUAAACCAUAUCUAGAAGAUAGAAUGUCUUUUAAUUAAAAAGGCUGAAAAUUAUCACCAGGGCUUCAAAAACUCCUCAGUCAGCUUGACCACAUAUAAAGUCUCUUAUUAUAACUGAGUGAUUGAUCAAAGAUAGCAAGAAAGAAGGCAACUCCUUCAGCUACCAAACAUGUUACUUAAAGAUAAGAACCAAAAAUGCAGACUUAACUAAAAGAUUUAAAAGACUAAAGUUCAAAAAGGUAAAUAAAGAACUUACUUUUUAGUCCAACACAAAAUUCAAUUGGAAAAAACACCAAACCAAAAUACUAAGAAAAAAUUAAAAGUACUUAAGGUACAAAGAUACAAAAAGUGACAUGAUGAAGACCACUAGGAAGACGAAACUCAGACACAGACAAUAAACUGACCAAGAAGAAGAGGAAGCCAGAGAGACGAGCAACAAGACGCAGGUGGAACUAAUGACUUAUCAACAAAGAAAGGAAAACCAAGGAAGUAAAACUAAAGUGGACACACUGGAGAAUAAGACAAUGGAAUUAAACAGGGAACACUAGGUACUCAUAACAUGACACACAAAUGAUCAAAAAUAAAACAAGACACACAAACAAGGAACAGGAAUGCAAGAGAAAAUACACAGGAAAAAAUUAUACCUAAACACAGAACAAAGAAAAUGUCGAGAACUCAUCAUGAAAGGACAGGAUUUUUUACCGAGCUGUAACCAAACAUUUAUUUAUUUCCUUCACCUGACUCUGGACGAUCAGAAAAGCGUCAUAUACUGGAUUGUUCUUUUUUGUAACCCCUGAUGGGAAUUUGGCACCACACUGCCAAAUCAUCAUCCUGAAAAAACCUCACUUGUAUUUACUUGAGGACACUUUGGGCCUUCCUGGGACCACGAUGUUCCUCCAUCAUCUCAAAUCUCUGUCUCCUCUCUAUUCUGUAAUAGGAGGACACUCCCACUGCCCAUCAGCUGCUCACCUUUACAGCACCUGUGCUGGCAUGUAAUCAUUAUCACAACCCUGCCAAAAAAAUCUAAUUUUUGGCAGGGUUGUGAGGUAUUUUUAAGCCAAUCCAUAGUAAUAUGGAUUAAAAAUGAUAAAAACCCAUAUAUUUGGUAGGAAAAAUGUUAGUUGCCAUCCAAAACACAAACAAAUAAACAAUUCUUCACUGGUUUUGGAGGUAACUGUUCUCAAACUGUCUUUUCUUCGCCUAAAGCUAUAAUCGGCUGAUCAGCUGUCCCAUUUACGGCUUCUUAAUCCAUUGUCACUGUGGCUCAUUUUUAGCCUAUCAGCUUUAUGCUGUCUUUUUGAACAUGUUUCUCUAUUUCUUCUGAUGAUACAAUGACACCCUUCACCUCCCCAUCUCCACCUGGUCUCCAAAGAAUCAUCAGUUUCCAUUCUUCAUCCAGCAGCGUCAGGACUCCAUGGGGGCGUGCCAUCAGCCACCAACCACCAGCAGUGUCAGGACUCCACGGGGGGAGUUUCCACCUACUGCUCAGAUCAGUCAUCCCUCACUCUUAACAGCUCCCCGAAGAGCCACCACGCCAAAGACUUUCUGUCAAGCCACAUUAAUUUGAUUAUCGUUGUAAAAAUAACCGUUUCUGUACAUGUAGACAUUGUUUAUAUGUAUGAAAUGACCUGGCAAUGUACGUUUUUGUGCUGCAGUGUGCACACAUCCUUGCAAAGGGUAAAAAUCUAAUAAUUGUGGGAGCAUUUCUGUGCAAUGCCUGCAGCAAACAGGGAGCCCAGCGGGCUGCACACAGAAAGGUUUAUCUGCGCAGGCCUUUCCUCUAUCACCCUGCCAAUAGAGACAGCAACAUAGAGUUUGAUGCUCCAGAGCUAGAUAAGACCACAGACACACAGUGAGCCGCAAUCAGACCCCAUUCACUACAAUGGGCUGGAUGAAAAAGUUUAAGACUGGCUACCCUGACAUUUCUUCCUCUUUCUGACAGGUUUGUUAUUAAAGUUUCUGGCAGGAUUUGGACUGCAUGAAGUGUAGAGGAGAUAUCUUUCUCAUUGUUGUGGUUGUGUUUCAGAAAAUAAAGUGGGUCGACCACGUAUUACAGGGUUGUUGUUUUGAUCCCCACCCACAUGUCAAUGUGAAGUAUUGCACGUCAUGACUACAAAGUUGCAUCUAUGCUAUCAUCAGCAUAGAAGUGGAACACAGCAUUAAUACAUUUUGCACCAGAUUUUGCACCAAAAUAAACAGAAAGGGAGCUAAAAUGGAGCCCUGAGGUACACCUUUAAUGAAAGUUAUAAUAUCAGAGCACAGAUGAUGGAGAAGGGUUUUGAUCGGUGCUAAUGGUCUUCCCAGAUUUUUGAGAUAAUGAGGAUUUUAUAGACAGAGAGAAGCCAGUAAAUAAAAAGAACUGUUGAUUUUGUCUGCAUGUAGCUUUCUAGCAAGGCUAACAUAAAAGAGUCCACUCUUCCAAAAAUCUCUAAUCUCAACCCAAUUUGUACUAAACAACAUACCAGCUGUUUUAGUUACAUUGUCCUUGCUUUGGUCUUGUAAAUGAGUCCUCUGAGAUUUCACUCUUGUAUGGAUCACUCGUAUUAAACUUGUAGAAAUUUUACAGCAAAGACUCCAGUUAUGCAAGAUUUAGAAGCAUUUUAGCACCUUUAACUGAUUGUUUUGGUUCAAUAUCACAGCCAUCAUUGCAGCAAAAUCAACCUUCUCUCUAAACAGAGUGGCAGCCAUUUCCACUGAGGCAUGUACUGUAGUUUAGGGUCUUAUUCUCAGCAGUAGUUUAGUGGUAGUAUAAGAAAUUACAUCUCAGGUAAUUAUUUCUUAAUAUUCCAUUUUAGCCAAACAAAAAAGGGAUAAAAAGUGACCUUUUUCCUGACUCUUCCUCUCUCUUUUGAGCGAGUACAAGUGUUGGCUGCAUUCAGUAUGUGAGGAAUCCAGUCCUGUGUUUCACCAACCAUGUCAGGCACUUAAAUCACAGAGGGCCUGGAUUCCCCACGGCCCCUCCAGCCUGUCACCAUGAAUGUAAAGACAGGCUUUAUCUUCUUAGACUUGAAUAUGACCAUGAAUAAUGUAGAGGCAGGUAGAGCUGGUGUUGAAGAGAAAUCACAGAGGCGUUACAGAUUCCACGCCUCUUUUAAAUGAAGUCUGCGGCACGCUGCCACUGAGUCAACAAAUCUUAUUACUGCCAUCAUCUCAAAAUGAAAGUGGAAUACAGUAAUCAAAAAUCAACAAAAACAUCAUGAGCUGGGAGAUUUCAGACACAUGAUGGAUGAGGCAUGAAGCAGAUUCAUAAAAGAAGAAUAAGAGGAUAAGAGGAGGAGGAGAAGAAGAAGAAGAAGAAGAAGAAGAAGAAGAAGAAGAUCUGGUCUAGGUCACCUCUUCUAUCUGAAUCCAGUUCUGAUAAUGAAAGGGAACAAAGAUGUUGUUGUGAAUGGGAUUUUGUGUGUUUUUUACACAGUUAUUGUCUGUGUCAGCACACAAACACACUUUUUGCUUAUCUGGCAAGAAAUUAACUGAGUCACAGAGCUCUGAGACAAUAGCAGGCAGGGAUCGUUGAGCCGAUCGCAGCACCUCGGCAACAGUCAGACCAUUUCGCUCCAGCAGACCACUUAAUAGCUUUGGCUGAUGCAGAGUUUGGAAAUCCAUCAGUCAACUGAGCCAGGCUGAUAUGAAGAGCACGCUCAGCCACACAAGCAGUGGGUGAGGAAACACUGGACCUGGUCUUCAUCUUGAGUUCAGGUCAUUUAAUGUCAGGACCCUGAACUCAGAAAAACAAUUAUGGGAUUAAACUGUGAAAACAAACAACAGCAAAAUCAUUACAUCUGAAAUAAUGAGCAGAGCUCCAACUUACAGACUGUGAGCUAUUAUCACAUCAGGAUAUAUGAUUAUAACACAAAAAAGGUGUUUUUCCACUUUGUAAGGUGUAAAAUGUGCUGUGUGUUUUCAUCUUUGUUAUUUCUGAAAUUAGAAAGAUUUUCCUUAUGUUCAUGGUAACAGGACACUUAUUUUGUGAUAUUUUCUGAGAAGAAGCUGAAGAUUUUAUUUCCUGUGGAUCAACAAGAAUGAAAUCUUCAAUUUUUGAUGAGACAGGCUUUUUAAAGUAGUACUCUGGUAAAUGAUUACCGCCCUUUCACCUCAGCUUCAAUGCAAGUGUGUUUGUCUUGUUUCUGCCCAUUUGAGCAGACGUUUUCUGAUAGGUGGAACAAGCAAGAGAGGGAGAGGACAGAAUUUUCUCCUUUUUUGGGGGGGGGUUUGUAGACAGGCUGGGCAUGCAUAUUAUUGUUAGAAAACCAUUCUAAAUUUUGAAUAAUAUGGUCCUUUUAAUGUCUUUGCAAAUGACACAGCAGAAGCUUUCUGCUUCUCAACAUCUGUCAGCCAUGUCAGAUGGCUCUGUGCCUGUUUCUGUUUUCACAUAAUGUCAAGUACAUUUACGUUUGUUCCAGCAGCUGAUGUCAAACUUGUCUGAUUCCUGGCAGAGAGUCGACAGUUUAAAUCAAAUUAUGAGUAAAUAAGUUUAUAUCUUCUGUGUAGCAGACAGAUGGAGUGAUAGAUUAAUCUUGUAACUCUCCUUGAAUAACUGUACGAGUUAGAAAGAGCUAUGCUAACUUAAUUUAAAGGUAUAAUGUUUCUAGACCAGGUGUCAACAGCCGAAAUGGACCACUUUAUAUUUGAGACAUACUGCCACUAAUAACGUUGAUGACCUCAGGUUGAGCAAUCAGCUCUGAUGAUGGUCUUGGGCCAUAUGAGAGAAUCUGUAUUCAUUGUGUUGGUUUCAAACAAUGAAUAAUUUAUAUUUAGCUUGAAGCUGCUGCUGGUCUGCUCUGGAGGAACGACUGCCGCAGAGACAGAGGGCUGAGAGGAAAGACACAAGACUGUUAAAGGCAAAAGAAAGACUUGUCUCUUACUGUUGUGUCCAGUGGAUUAAAGACACGGUAAAACUUUUCAGUGACUAUUUUCAAAGUAAGUAAUUCUUCAGUUUGUCCUCAGACUUUGUUUUUCACCUCUCUGUCUAACUCUUAAGCACAGUAGAGGUGUAACCUAAAUGUGAAAAAAGCUCUGUUAUUAUUCUCACUGAAAGCUGGUGCUUGAGUGUAACUUGAAUGUGAGAUACAGUCAGCAGUUCGCUCUAAAAGCUGUGACUUUAUAUGUCAUUUGCUUAAUGUUCUCCAGCUGUGAACAGAUGUGACUGUGUGGAGAAAGUUUUGUGUGAAAGUAAACUGUAAAAACUGUUGCUCAAAUCCAACUAUUUAGACAUUUUCAACUUUAUUUUCAGAAGUGCACAUUAAUCGGCUGCUUUUAUCACAUUGAAAUUCUCUAACACGUAGAAAAUGACAUGAAAUUUUCCCUGUAGAUAGUGAAAUACAAACAUUCUCACUUGGAUAAGAACUAUCUUGGUUUCUGCUCCACUACGGCUCAAAUGCUCAGGCCUUGGUCAGAAACUAGGAGCUCUAGAUGAGUGCUGUGCUCCUGAGUGUUGGAGGGCUCUGACGUGUAUUUUCGGUACACUCUAAAGACAGGACAAAAAAAUGACCUGCUUUACAAAAUAAUACUUAACAAGCAGUACUAAAGAACUUUUCACUGUGUUUAAAAGAAGAUUUUUACAUGAACUUGUGGACUCUUUUUUGCUCAUUUGAAGCCAUUAGCUCUGAAAGAAACCUGCCACUUCUGUCAUUCCUGUGCUGCAAAUAACUUGAUGUUAAGUGGUUUCUUUAUUUGCAGUUACAAAGGAACUGAAUCACAGCAAAAUCCUUUAGCACUGCCAGCUACAUGCAGCUGUGUCUAUUUUCAGCAUUUCUGCUUCUGUAUUAUUCCCUCUUGCUUCUAUCUUUUUUGGUUCAGAACAUUGUUUGUUUGUGCCUAAAGUACCUGGCAUAACGGACAUGCACAGGUGUGAGAAGGUAAAGUGAUUCAGCAUAAAAAGCCUCCUGCUCGCUGACAUCCUCCACCCAAAGAGGUAUUUUAUUUUUAUUCUAUAAUGCAUUUUGAAUUUGAUGCAAGAAAAAUGUUCCUCAAAAGUUAGGACAGGGAGGAAGUAAAAACAAUGACAGAUUAAUAUAAUGAUUAAAAAUACUUAAAGGGAACAUCUCUGAACUACUAAGGUUAACUUGCAAUAGGUGAGUAACAAGAUUCAGUAUUAAAAGGCCAUUUUGGACAGGCUGAGUCCCUCAGGGUAAAAAUGGGAAGAGGUUCACCACUCUGUGAAGGACUGCAUGAGAAAAUAGUUCUGAAACAGUAAAGUCCUCUGGGCUUGAGUCUGUUUAAGAUGGACUGAGGUGAAAUGGAAAACUGUCUUAAGGGCAAAGUACCAUCUUGCUUAUCAUUGGCACUUCGCUCAAAAGCCAGAAUCCAUGAUGGUGUUGCCACCCAGAUAAUACCUUUACGGGGCAGAUCUUUGCUUUUAUAUCUCAGAUAUUACAUUAUAUCUCAGAUUUAUAAUCUCAGAUAAACUGCAGAUAAAACAAGUUAUGAUCUGACCUGCCCAGUGCUGGUAAGGCAGUAGCUCUGUAAGCUUCUUUGACGUUGGCGUACAGCAGAGUUUUCUGUUCUCUGAUAGGAAAGUCAACAAACAGUGUAAAUCCAGUCAGAUGAGAGAAGAGGAUCACAUGGUUGAAGUCUCCUGAUAUUAUUACAAGUGCCUUGGGAUGUUGAGUCUGUAUCCUAGCAACAGUAUCAUGGACAACAUCACACAGAACUCCAGCCGUUGUCUGGUGUUCCUAGUGUUCUUUUGUGUGUUCAUGUUCUGCAUGUUUUAAUUCUUUUAUUGGCUAUGUAGCACUUUGGUCAACUUAUUUUAUUUUUUCUAAAUGUGCAAUAAAAGUAAGUGGACCUCAUCAGUUUGGAUGCAGUUGAAUAAUUUGCAAAUAAUCUUAUUUUUUAUUUUUUAAACAUUUGACACACUGUCUAAGCUUUUUGGAAUCGGGGUCAUAGAUCAUAUUUCUUGGUUUAAAAAAAAUCUGGACAUGUUUUAUGGUUGAGAGUAUUUAGUGACAGAGGAGAAUAAUUGCUGUCAGACUGACAUAAGAGUUGAUUUUGAAGCCCUAAAGGAAGGAAUAUUCAGCAGCAGUAAAAAACAAAACAAAACAAAAAAAAACCCUUCAGAUAUGAGGCUGGUGUCAUGAAAUUACCUGAAAAAAAUCUCUAUCUUAACACAUCUAAAAGCUUCUGGUUUGUUUGAUUUAAUAGAUGCCUCAGGUCCUUCUGUAGUUCAGGCAGAUUUAUACUGGACUAGUAUUGGUCUGCCAAGCAGAACAGCUUUUGAUUUUAAUGGGCAGAUUUCAUCCUGGAUGAAAUUUUCUUCUAAAAAAGUGUUUUUUCGUAUUCUGUGAUCAGCCCAACACUACAUGAGGUGGAUAUUUUUUAAGGUAAUCACAAUUGGUCUCCUUUGGCUCAUGUGAUGGACUGUGCAGCUUCAAGAGACAGGGUGGUCUGCAUGAUUAAAAGGUUUACAAAGUCAGUGAACAGAGAGGGUUUUCAUUGUUUUCCUUGGUCAGUUGGUCCAGCUAAACCUUUCCAGAGGGGUUUUUCACCUUCAUGAAAAAUGUUUUUGCAGAGAAACAGCAGAGCUGCACACUAAGGAUUAAGAGACUUCAUUUUGUUGUUUUGAAGGAAUCAAACUGAAACUCUGCACUGAGGAUAUUUCUGAAAACUAAAGCCGUCAUGCACUGUUUCAUUUCUAGCUUCCUCCUCUCUCUUUCCUCAUUGUUACCUCAGCGCUGCUGUCAGGAAUCAUUUCAACUUUUCAUUUAUUUAUUUCCUUUUCUAUUUUGUUGGAGGAUUGGAGGCAGGUGCUGCCAAACUUCAUUCUGUCUGUGAUGCUCUCUUGUGUAUGUUUAUGUGUUUGUGAAAGUAAGAAAAGGUUUGGCAUGAUCUCAGAGAAAAGGACAUGUGGCUGUAGGCUGUUAUGCGAGGUGCACUGGCUCCCAGCACUCAUAAAUAACCAGAGGAAAAAGUCUUUGCCAGGCUGUACUUCAGGAGAGCUGUUCUGCAGCCAAGACUAUCAUCUGUGACUGUGGCAUGAAAUUGUUCCUCUGACAUAUUCAACAAGGCAGAUACAAUGGAUAAUUCUGUAUACAUUUUACAGAUGAUUAUUUACUGUUGUACGUAUCAUUUUCAAAUGUAGCUGCUCUUGUGCUGAACAACUACUUUAUUGACUCUCACUCCCAAACUUCAUCAAAGUUUCUUUGAGACAAAAAUUAAUUACAGUGAUUGAUUGUUCUGGUGUACACACUUCUUGUUGGACUUUGUUCAGUCUUUUCUGCAUUAUUCAGCAUGUAAACAAAGAGUCACUUCUCAUUUUGGAAAUGUUUUUUCUGGUCACAAACACUGAACCGUCUACCCAUUAAAAACAGGAGGUACUUGAAUUGUUGUCAGAGCCUGAAUUUAUUCCUCAGACCAUUUUGGUCUUUGUUAUUCUGUAUUUGAUGGGAUCCAUUUGUUAUGUCUGGGCAUCUGCUCUGCAGUGUGGAGCCUGUGCCAGCUUUCAGACAGGCGUCUGCUUCUGGCUCUGGGUUGUUGGUGCCUUGAGCGAAUGAAAGCAUGACAGUGCCUGUCAUGUCUUCAAUGUGUCAGCGGGGACUCAUUAACUAAACAAAUCUGUGCCAUCGGCCCGCAGUCCAGCAAGAGAUCCAACCCCAGAGACCCACAGGAUAGUAAACAAAAAUUAAAAUGGUUAAAAAAACAAACUCUUUACUUACAGAGAUUGGAUUUUAUUUGGUCCUUCUAGUCUGGUCCGAGUGUGAUGUGACCUCUGUUCAGACAAAAUGUGAGAGUCAACAGAUGGGAACAGAAACUCUCAGUCCGAUUACAGCUGCCUCAUCGAGCUUGAACAAACUCUUGUGCAAUGACUCGCCCCUUAAUUUGGGUUUAUUAGUUUAAACAGUCUUUAAACUAUUAUGUUGAGUCUUCAAGUGGGCUAAAACCAGCUGGAAUGUACUGACUAGUGGAUUUUAUGGCAUGAGAUUUAAUUUUGAAAUCAAGUGGGUAUGAAAAUAUGCAUGCUAACAAGCAAUUGGGGCCAUUUAUCCUGAUAGAUCAUAAGAUGGAGUAAAUCUCAUAUUGAAAUGUACCGGGCCUGUGUGUUCUGUAAGCGAGUACAACAGAGGAAUCCCCUUUUUGACACUACUCGAGAUAAUGCGGUCAGAUUGCAUUUUCGAUACAAAAAGGUUGCUUAUAGCAGCACCAAAAAGUAAAAAAUGGACAGCUCAGUUGCAACAUCUGUGAGCUAGUUCAGGCAGGCAACUUGAGCUGCAAUAAUUUCCUAUUUUCCAUUCCUGAUUCUCACAGUCACCAGACAAACUUACCCUGACAAUUUUGCAGCUUAUUUAUGUUGUGAGAUGUCAGGUCUGGUACUACUCUUAUCUGUGACUGCAAAAAUAUGUUUUGACACAACACAACAUGGCUGAAGGUCAUUAGAGGGGAGUUAAGAGCUGCUCAACAUACUCUAAGUGUUACCAUUGGAUACUUUCAGGAGGCAACCUGGAGCCACAGAUCCAGGACAUUUAUUAUUUCACCCACUUGUCAGUCCUAAGACUACUAAUUUGUUUGUACUAAGAGAAGGAGUUGGCUGGUUUACAUCAGUCCCUGAAGUACAGUGUGUGUUUCAUUACUGCUCUCAUUAUUGAGCCAAAGUGUACCUGGCAUUAGUCCUCUAAAAAUACCAUUUCUCCUCUGUAAUAUGGACCAAAGACAACCAGAGAAGAACAUUUUGUCCAAACAUGCAUUUUCAACUCCCUAUAACAACCUCUGCUCUCAGUAUGAAGUAAAUAAUAGGUUUCCAGCUUUCAGUAAAAGGAAUGAGGCUCUUCAUCUCACAGAUAAGACUACAGUCUGAUGCACGGCAGCAGAAAAGCAGUGUGGAGUCGGUGUGUCUGUUCCUCCCUGGGCUGCUGUUUUCCUGCUUCGCAACCAGGCGAGAUGAAUGAGCUCAGAUGUUUCAGGUGUUGAAUUUCCUUUUUCUAUUACAGGGUGAGCUUGUUGAUUUUCUCUGGUUAGUCUGUGUUCAUGCAUGGGGUCAAUGGAUCAGUGUUUGAGGGAGGGCACUUUAUAUUGAAGACUCAUCCCUGACCUGCACUGCUGUCCUGAAAGUUUAUUUUACCUGGUACAAAAAUUAAAGUAAAUCUCUUGGUGUUCAAUCCUAUGCACAUGUUCACACAUUACUUACUUUCCAUCCUGCACAUUUGUUGGAAAACUCAAAAUUCAAAUCACAUGUUGGUAUGUUCUGUAGAUUUAAAUCAGAGAACUGUAAUCGAAGAACUUCCUUAUCCCGUAUCUUGCAGUUCUGUAAUAGUGUUUAAUUGAUGAAGAAGAAUAAAUGGGACACUUUUAUGUUUCAGGGUAAAGUUAUAUCCUUUUUUCAUGGUUAAUUUUCAUGUUUAAUGGAGGAUUGGAAAUGGAGCUACAGUCUGCAUGUGCCCUACUUUCAUGUGUAAUCUCAAACCUGAACAUGCACACUACAGUCAGAGACAGAUUACAAAAUCCCAUCACCGUGCUGGAAUUUUCUCCUCAUAUAUCCAGACCAUUAAUAAUCAUCACAUAUUUGUUACUUCAGGCUCGCAAUAAGUCCUUUAAAGGGAUGCUCAUAAUAUGUGGAGGAAUGAAAUAUCUCGGCAUAUGUGCAGAGGAAAUUGGUGUUUUGGCUGUGAUGAAUGGAUGCUGCUGAUGUUGUUUUGUGUGGGCUUCUUUCAUCCUGCACUGACUUUACAAAAGAGCCUUUACAUGUGCUAAUUCAGUGUGAAAACUGUGAGGUUCUCUGUAACAUAUAGUAUGGUAAUGCUCUCUAUUCUUCCAAACAGUGCAAGAAGCUGUCAAUAGUUGUGUUGUUGAAAAAAAAAAAAACCCUGUAUGUUAUUAAAAACGCUCUGUGCCAAGUUUAAAGAUAGACUUAAAAAAGCUAUUAUAUGAUAUGGGAUGUAACAACUGAAUGUGUUUAAAUGAGCGCAAAAAACUUAUGUUUUUGGUUAACGUGAAGCGAGCCUUAUAUAUCUGCAUAGAGCAGGUCCUCUUCCAUGUAGGCCGACCCAUUGCACCGUCAUGUUUACGCUGUUAGUUGGAGGACAAAGAGGAAGUGUUUGUUGUGGGUUAAAGACUUCUAUUUUUGAUAGUCAAAAUUCAACAAAUGGAGGAUCUUAUGCUCCGUUGCUGUUGUACUCGGAAGUCGGACUUUCCGACUCGGAAAGUCGGAUGAUCCUCACCAACCUCGACUUGACGGCAACGUCACAAUCCAAGAUGGUGGCGCAGUGCAUCAACAGUAAAGAGUUAAAGUGAAAGCUCUCAUGAUGUAUUAUUUAUUUAGCACUUCUGUUUUGUUUUUGUAAAAUUAAAUCAGUGGUGUAUGUUGUACUGCCCAACGUCUAACUGUGAACAUGGUGCUAUGGUGUUUGUAAGAGUAAAAUUCUGUGUUAUGCGUUGUUUACAACUGCAAUGGCUAACAACAACUAACAACUGCUUACAACAGCAAAUGACAGCUGUUAUUGUAAACAACAGCUAACAACAGGUAACUGUGUCCAUCUUGGUUUCCCGACUUGUUACCACUUGUUGACCUGUUAACAACUGGGUUGACGCCGUCAAUGUCCAGCUGGGAAUGUAAUGUCAUUCCCAGCUCUGACAUCCGACUUUCGAGGUAACUGGAUCACAGCAACACUUAUCAUAAAUCAUAGAGGCUUUUUGUCCUUGACGGCCACCGUUGUUUUACAACAGAAACGUGAGCGGGGGUGCAUUUCAGUCUCAGAUUGGAAUACACAAUUCUAACUGUACACAUUUCAGUAGAUUGUAUAAGAUAGUUAUAGGAGAAAUCACAGCAGAUGCCAUGAGUCAUUGAGCUUUUUCCAAAUAGUGGAAUUCUGUCGUUUUCAUGCCUUUUUCAUCUUAUUAUGACAUUCUGAAGAUAUCUGAAGUAUGAACAGGUUUGUAUUUCUCUUCCAGCGGAUCACCUCAGCUAACCUCCGGAUUGUUGGCAGCAGCUUUAAUCAAAGCGGUCCACUUAAAGUGCUUGUUGGCACUCACAUUGUUAUCUUUAAGAGUCUGACAACAUAACGGAGAGGAUCUCCCCCCGCUGACUCUGGCUCAUGUUUCAAUCAAUAAUCUGAUUAACAGGCCCAAUCAGUGGACCUACUUUCAGUGGGCCUAAAUGCUUGAAAGGAGCUUGUUUUUCAGCAGCCGUUUGAGGUGAAACAUUGGAACAAUUACUACUGAGUCAUUUAGGCUGUAAAAGUGCAUAUUUAUGAAUCCCCCUUUCAUUCCAAAGAGACAUCAACUUAUUAAAAGCCUGUUACUUGCAAAACUUUGAUGCAAAUAGUCAUUAUCACUCAGAUGUUGCUUUAGAUUAGUGGGAAUUUCAAAGGUUUCCUGUCCAAUAUUGAUCGAAGGAAUGAAAUAGGAGCAGACCACCGAGGCAAUGAGGAGAAGGAGCAAAUUCUCUAAAUCCAAAAUCUUUUUAAAAGCUGCUGUUUUAAUUGUAUCAGGAACCCCUCACACACCAAACUGCCUUGGUUCAUGUGACUAGAUGAGGAGGACCUUAAAGACUUGGCUGAGUUAGACCCCAGCUAAUCAGAGCUUUCACUUUUUGUUUCUUUGCAAAGGUCGACUUUCCUUCUAAACUGACACCAUUUGUAUUAAUUCAUUAUGACAAACGUCUGCACAUAAAUCUAUCUUGGUCCCAGACCAAUCUGUCCAGCAAACAUGGGGUCUUUCAAUUCAACUGAGAGGAAAGAAGAUGGGAGCAUGAGGUGAGAGUAUCUGUGUAAACCACUCCCAGACUUGACUGACCUCUUGCGAAGUUUCUGGCCCUGAAACGAAAGAUUUAUGUUUGCUGAAAUAAAAAGUAUUCAGAGGUGAACAUGAGGGAAGUUUGUGAGAGGAAAAAAGAAAAGAUUCUGUUCACUGUAGUCUGAUGUUUGCAUUAUAAUUAAUGAGAACAGUACGCUCCUCUAAAAAUCCAGUUUCCACUCUAAAUGUUUCCUGCUGUUCAGAGAUGAGUUUUACGUUUUAUCUCCUAUAAUUAGACUCCCUGGGUCCUCCUCUUAACAGAGACAAAAGCUUUAAAGUCCUCUUCUCUCCCAUGAUGCUCUGAUUUUUAUAGUUUCAUCUCAUUAAUUUAAACGCGCUCUGAUGUAGUACUUCUCUCUAAACCAUAAUCAUCGUUAAUAACAACAACUUUGAAAUGAUUCACUGCACAUUUUCUCACUUUAAAGACACUGUCAGUCUCUCAGUUUGUACCUUUGACCACUUCCUUGUUUGGAGUCAGGACCUGACAGCUCUGCUCUACUGUGGACCAUUAUUCACUGUGACAAUGAAGCCACAGGUAAUGAACAACUGUGUUCUUGUAUAGCUGUGAAGCUGGGCCUGUCCUAAUUGGAGAUAAAGAUAGGUUAUUGAUCAGUGGUCCUAAACCUAAACCAUUAGCACUCUGCCUGAAUUCCUGUUGUGGGACAGAUAGGAUGGUCAUGGUGCUGAGGCUGCAAGAAGAAAGAAGGACGGAGAGGAUAAAUUGGACAGGUCUGCUCGUCAGCAGCAAAAAGUUAAUUAUGUCCACACGUUCCAGAUUGUUUCACAAAGCAGGCAACAUCACAAAACAGAUAAAGAGGAGGUAAACAGGAGCAGAAUGGAGAGUUUGCAGCUAAACUAGCUCUAGUUAAAGGUGGGGUAGGCAGGAUCUGAGGAAGUGCCAGUUUUUGGGAGAAAUCUUGAAUGUAAACUCUACCCCUCCCUCCCAACCAGUUUUCCCCUCAGCUCCUCCUCUCCCCUCCCUCUCUGCUCCAGCAAGCCCCGCCCACAAACAGACACUCCUGCUCGCUCGUAUCGUUUCAAUUAAAUUUAGAGAUAAGGUACUUGGAUGAACUAAGAAGACACCAGGGAAUGUGUCCUGCAAAUCCUACAAUAUAACACUUAUGAAUUUUGGAGAGGAAAACAUGGAGACUAAAUACAAGCAAGGUAAUCAAACACAGGUGGGACAAACAGGACACAGGUGAAACUAAUCAGGACAGGCCACACACUCAAUCAGAUGGAAAAAAACAAAACAAAACAGUAAGACCAGAACAGACACAGUGGGAGCACGAGUGAAAACUAAAACUGGAGACGCAAAGGGUUGGGGAAUCAAAUGACUACAAACACAUGCCGUGCAUCUUUCCUACAAGCUAAAGUGCUGUCUCCUCUGGCAAUUCUUUAAUAUGCUUCAUUUUAAUCUACAGGCAUGCAAUCCUCUCGUGAAAAACACAAACUAAACAAAAAGAGAUGGAUCAUUUUAUAUUCAAAAUAUUCACAUGGAAACAUAACAUACUUUAUUUAUUGCUGUGAUGUUUUCUGUUUAGUGUAAGGGGUUUUACCCAUGCCGUGCCAUUUCCGAAGUGUUACAACAACAGUAGAGGGCGCUUUGCUUUGGUAUCAUACAUACAACAGUUACAAAGCUGUAGAGUUUUACACACAACCUAUUUGCAUCUUUCUAGCUUCAUGACCAAUUGUUUUGGUAAGUGAGGUAAUAAGCCAAUUGGGAGCCAAUCCAAUGGUAUGGUGUAAAUCUGAUGACUUACCCAUAACUCCUGGGGCUCCUCUGGCUCAUUGUCCUCUCCUUCAAUCAGCAUUUGAAAGCCCCCUGUCUUGGUUCCCCUGUCGAUUAUUCAGUCAGAGUCUCUACCGAGCCCUGGAGCUGUUUCUGGCUCAUAUUAUAGCAGCAACACUUGGGAGGAAGUGUUUUUUCUUUUGUACAUGUGAAAUAGAGAGCUGUGACCCUUAUUAACCACUCCACUCUGUGUCCUUGAACUUCAGAUAAAUUCAAUAUCUAGGGUUCAAGAGUAAGCUGAAGGGGCUUGGUAAGUAUUUAGCUGUGUUUCUUUGUUCACUGUGUACAGGUGGACUGUCCAGAUUUUUAUGCUAGAUACAUUUUUUUUUUGCUGUCAACCCUUCUGCUACACUCCUGAUAUUGGUGUUAUUGUUUCCCCAUGAGGAGGUCUUUCUUUUAGAUCUGAGAGGAGCUGAUUCUCAUCUAUGUUCGCCCCAAGAGCCCCACCUCUCCUACGGUCGUCUGUACAAAGGUUUCAAACAGCUCCAGCUUGCCUCUGCUUAUGAACUCUUAUUUUCUUAAUUCCUGGCUCCUCAUCUAUCUAAAAUGACUUUAAACAGCCACACUUGUUAAAUCACGAUUAAAAAAAUGCACACAUCUUUCCCUUGUUGCGCCAAUCUGAUGAAAAUGAUCGCUCUUUUCAUGCUGGCGAACACUCAACUAAAAGCAAUCUGUUGUUCGGUUUGAAGUCCAACAGUCCCGAGAUCUAAGGAAACAAACCUGAAAGGACAAGCUGUGACUUUUUUACUAUUACUACUGUGUUAUUGCCCAACAAUCUUGGGUUUACAAAAGUCUGGAAAUUACAGAGAGAAGUGUUUGACGUCUUUUCUCAAGGGCUGAAAAUCAUAUGACAUGCUCUGUGAUGAUAACAGGCUACAUGCAUGGGCACAAUAGAGAUUAAAGGAGAUUGUAUGAGAAGGGUAGGUGGUGAAAAAAGAAAAAAGGAAGAGAGGGAUAGAGAGGAUAAGACUCGGUAACAGAAAGAGGGGGUGGUGAUAAACAUCAAACAUGAAAAAACAGGAGGGAGAUAAAAGGAGAAUCACUGGAGAUGUUCCUUGAGAAAGAUUAGGUCCCAUUCACACUAACUUACUCGCUGUGAUCACUCAGCAGCACUGGCACUGAGUAAAUUCAAGUUAAGGGUCAAUUUACUAGAAAUAUGGUAGAAAUGCAGAUGACACUCUAAGAAAAGAGAGACUAUACUUUGCUGCGGGAGCAUGCUGGAUAUUUGGUGAGGAAAACAAGUGUAGCAGUGAAACUUUGUAGCUGCUUUUCUCCUUUAUUAAAGAACGAUGAUGAACUUUAUAUAAAUAUAUCUUGUAUCAUGCUGAAAUGACAACAAAUGACCAACUAUUAUACUGGUGCAAGCAGGUUAGAGAAAAAAAAAAAGAUGGUUGCUGAACGAGCUUCACAGUUUCACAGAAUCUGCACAUUGUGGACUGAAAGCAAUGACAGUCGUUAUGCGGGAGCACAGAGUGAACCCACUGGAACACCCUUAACCCAGGGAUUCCACAGGAUCCAGAACGGCUUCGCUCCACUCCAGACCGGCAGGCGGAUUAAAUACUUAAGCAUAUAGUGCCCACCGGAUCCGAUCCACCGCCACCAUCAGAGGAGAAGCGCUCACGAGAUUACCAAUAUUUCCUGCAAGACUGGACGAGAUCUCACAAGAUCGUGCAUGUUUCCCCGUGAGACAUUGAAUGCCGAUCGUUGUAUAUAAACGGCGGUGUAUAUAAACGGCGGUGUAUAUAAACACACACAUCCCACAACCCUGGCCUCUCCUAUUAUCAAGUGAAGAACAGUUCAACGUAUUGACUUCUCUGUAGCCGCAUACAACUUCCGCUGCUGCUCAUGCUGCGGCAUCCGGCAAAAAUAGAAGCCUUGCAUAUUUAUUAUAAUGCUUGCGUAUUUGAUUCACCUGGCGUGUCAGAGCGGAGUGGAGCCAUUCCGGAUCCUGUGGGUUUUAGCCACAAAGUGACUACAUCCUUAAUGCUGGUACGAGUUAUAUUCUUGAUUGUACUACAGAUAGUGGCAUUAUAGUGCAUGCCACUAUCUGCACAAUGCGAGCACUUGUAUUUUUGCCCCAUACUGUUAACAAAGCUAACCAACAUAGAUCAGAACCCAAAUCAAAGUCACCACAAUAAAAUCUAUUUGCAACUUGAGCAAAAUCAAUCACACCACUUCCUUUGGUCACUUUGUAGAGUACCAGAUUUCCUCAUGCUAAUUCUCCAAAUGCUAGCUAGCAGCUGCAUGCUAGCUGGAGCUAACAAUAAUUCAUGGCAAACAGGGUAUGACUGGGAGAAUGAUGCUAACUUACAGUGUCUCCUCUUCCUCUUCCUCAUCUUCAUCAUCAACUUCAUUAUUCUCCUUAUGGUAAUACAUAGUGUCUACCAUGUUAUCAAACUGGAAUUGGAAUUAGCAGUCACAACACAGCAGAUAUAAAAAAAAUUCAAGUAGUGAUUUUUGUAAUUUGCUAAUUGUUUUUUUUACGAAAUUGAUUUGACACUUACUGUUUGCUUGAGGCUGGAAAAUGUCGGUAUAAUGAGUGUUUAUGGAGUCCAACAGACAACGGUACAGAACCAGUCAAUCUUUAGGUUAAAUCGUCCUCUCCUCUGGCAUGUGUGUCUGCAGGUCUGCAUCAGCUCUUGCCCUCUAUCUCUGUUAGCUAAUUGGACCCUGUCCUCCCUCUGGCCUUCUGGGACUCAGACGUAAUUAAAGCAGAGAGACAGGAAGUGUCAAGUUCAGGACUGCUAACCACACCCUGUUAAUUGGUUGAGGGGUGGAGGGCAGUUCAGAAAGGGGAAGGAUUGGUCAAAUUUCGAUGCCUCGGUGGUUGCUUCGAUCAAAUGUGUCUGCUCUUGAACAUUACAUGUGGAGGAAAGUGAUGGUAAUGACGCUCGAGUGUGUCUGAUGCAUCACCACCAGUGAAUAAGCAUGCUGAGCCUUAAGCAAAAGACAUGAUGUGGGUUUAAAUGAGCUAAUAUGACAUUCAGGAUCAGGAUGGUGAUAUUCUCACACAUUUAAGAUAUUCCAGCCUAAUUAAAACUUGGGUCCUGUGGUUUUUUUACAUUUAGCCAUCAUUUCUGUCAGUUAUUAUAUAAUGAAAAACAGGAUGUGACACAUUUAAAGCAUAUUUCAGGAUGAGCUUCACAAUGCGAGAAAUUGGGUCUUCUUUUAACAAACAUUUAAUCUCCAAGAGGAUUAUUAAAAAUUGUGUCCCCUAUAUCAGAAAAUAGCUUUUAAACUCAACGCAUUUUGUAGGACAAAUGAACAAAUGACACCCUCUGUUCUUCAGCCCUUUGUAUGAAUAAGAAAAAACUCACUCAAAUGUAUUCUUUACAAAGAGAAGCUGGUAACAUAUAAUGAAAACACUACUAUAACCUGACAUUUCCUAUUCACUAUUGUGCCACAUAACUGCAGCCACACCUGUUGCUCCUGCCUCUUCAUUCUUAACGAUGGAAAGAGAUGUUUGUCAAUCCUCUCUGUGCUCAGCUUGGUGUAAUUUCACUGCGACAGACAGAGUCAGGGCCUGGAUGUUAACUCCCAGCACAUACAUAUUUAACAUUAACAUGACAAUACACUCAUACCCUGGUAGCCCCAGGCGAUCGUUUUAUUUAUAACCUUCAUUAUGCUAUCUUGUCAUGGUGACUUCUGUUGUGUUGUGUCAGUUAUUGACUUGAAGAUUACAAUGUUUAUCCACAUCCUGUCUCCUAGAAAUUAUGUUUUUGUAUGCCUAAACUGCAGUGCUGUGACAGCGUAAUCACAGCUUGGGUUGUAUUCACAGACAGUAGAUUUUAGACUGAAUUUAUGUGCCUCACCUGUUUCACAGACGAUUUGUUUGGGAUUGAUGGCUGGCUGAAAAUAUGCAGAACUGUCAAGGCAAAGUCAGGUGUUUGGUGGCGCCAGAUACCAUGACCACAUAGAUACAAAACACAGCUGCUAAAAUCAGCAGCCUUCUUACUGCCAGUGAUCUGUUGUCCCGUAGAGACAGAUUUUUGUGUCAUCUUGAUGGGGAUUUCAAUCGUUGUGAUGAAAAGAAAUGACUUAGCUGACCCCUGUUGUUGUAUUGAUAAGAUUUAACAUCUAGGUGACCUCCAGACUUAGACUGAUAUUGGGAUAGAUUCAGAGAGAAUUUAAAGGCUCUUAUUAUGUUCUCAGUGUGAAACCCUCACAUCAAUAUUCAUGCUAGGAGGAAACCCUUAGAGACUGGCUGGCCUCCGUGUAGUUUAAUCGAAUUUACCAAUUGCUGCCACCAACAAAACACCAAUCUCUUUCUUCCCUCUCUGGAAAAUAAGCGACCUCAACUUGAGGCCACAGCGAAACUUUCACUGACUUGAAUUUAUUUCUUCAAUUAUCCAGCAACACAUCACAACAGUCAGACUGGUAAGGAUAGGUUAAUGAGGAGAGGCUCUGUCUAACUAUCAUUGUAGUCAAAGAGUUAAUGAAACAUCAAGCAUCAAGAAUAAAUUUUUGUCCCUAUCAAGACGGAGGAAUUGGCUCAUUUCUUUGCCAAUAGUUUGAUCAGAAAGUUGAUCUUGAUCUUACCAUUGGAGGGUAGAUAUGAAGUUACAGCUGGAAGAGUUAGCUUAGCAUGGAGUCUGAAACGAGUGAUCUGACCCUGUGCGAAAGCAACCCCAAAUAAAAACCUGUUUUAUUGUUUUUACACAUUUCCUGUGACAAAUAUGUUGAUAGAUGAGCUAUAAAGCUGCUGUGGUGAAAUUUUGAUUUGAGUUGAUAUUGGCGCCCCCUGUGGAAAAAGUGAUUCUUUUUUUUAAUUCUUAAUAAAUGAUUUUUUCCUUUUUUUAUUGAUAGGAUAGGGUGAAAUGUGGGGAGAUAAAAAGAGGAGGGAGGACCUGCAGCACAUGAUCGGGGCUGGACUCGGACCCCGCGACCGCUGUGGGGACCAUGGUUCCCAUACACAGGGUGUGCCAAAGGGGUUCUUGUAACCUUUGUACUGUCAGGUGAAAAGCGGUACUUUUAGACAGAAACUGUGUCUGGUUGUCUUUUCAAAGCAAACUUUAUCAUUUGACUUGAGUAUUUUACGUGAAAAAAGUCAAAAUAGAGGUUUUAUUUAUGUAUUUUUUUUUUUUUAAUCAGCUGGCUGUUAAUCAUCUGGUCUGAUAGCUCCCAGCCCUCUCAGAGCAGUAAAAUUAUCAGUCUUCUUGCUGAUGGUGUCAUUUAAUUUUGAGGGUCAUAAAGAGACAUCAGUAUAAGUGUCAGUCUGUUUUCAACCAGUUAAAAUCUCCUCAUGGGGUCUUUAAAAAUGCAGCAAAGUCUAGCUACACUCAGGCAACAGACAGCUUGGCUAAGCACUAAGACUUGAAAUGAGAGAGUUUCCACCCUUUCCUCAGCCAGGUUAAAGGGAUAUUCCGGCAUAAAAUUAAGUUAGGGUCAAACACACCGUAGCACCGAGUUAGACACCCUCUCAAGAGAUUAAUGUUGUCGACCACUUACUUCUCUUGUUAUACCAACUUUAGUAACGACCGCACGAUAGCAAUACGCAGCUGUCUCAGGAGCCACACGCUCACCUCAACUAAAACGCCACUCUAGAGCCAUAAAUAAUGCUCAGAACAGCACCUAACUUCAUCAACAGUGCAUAUAGGGUCCCAGCCACAGUACUAGCCACCACACAUCUUUUUAGCUUUGCCUGAUUUCUUUAGCAAAGAGACUAAACACAACUCACCUACUCUCUUCCAGCAGCCGCUUGUUUGUAGGGAGAUCUUGGAUGAGUCCAUCACUGACUGCAGCGGGGUGACGCAGCUCAAGGAAGAACAUUUAUGAUCAUUUCUUCAUGGAAAUGCAAUCAGACCGAGACGCUAAGGCAGAAGAACUACGGUGUCUGCAGUGCAAAUUGAUAAAUAUGAUGAUUGUUACUUCAAGGAAAUGAUAAAGUAAUUAUCAUAAAUGUUCUUCCUUGAGCUCCGUAACUUGGUGUCACGGUGUUUGACCCUAACUUAAUUUUAGUUGUUAUCUAUAUAAAAUUCUCACAAUGUUCCUCUGACUCUUGAAUACAAAUGCAACUAAAUCGCAAUUCCAAAAGUUUCAAAAUAACUCUUAAAGUUGUGAUUUUCAUACCACACCCUCACUUAGCAAGAUGAAUGAAACAUCUUGUAUCUAAAUAGGAAGUGCAAACAGUUCAACACGCCGCUGUCUUUUGUCUACUCUCCAAAUGUGCUUCUCUGCAGGGGGUGUCAUACAUUGUCUGCUAAAUACAGAAGCACAGAAACAUGAUCCCGAGUGUUUUUCACGCUCAGUGAAGAAGUUGUGAAGAUCCCGGGGAAAGACAGAAACCCAACUGUGAGGUAGAUUUCACAUGUGCAGGUACAAAAAGGUGGCUCCAUUUGAUCUACAGCACAUUCAAAGAGAAUAUGUAUGAAACUAGGAUACUCAUCUUUUCAUAUAUUCCCUGUUUUAGAAUCAAGUUGGCUCUCAUGGAGGAAUGUUUGAAACAAUGAUGAGAGCCCACCAGGAGAGUCUGAUAAAGAGAUUUAUUCAUCAGUCUGGCUGUGGGUUAGAUUAAAGAGAUGAUCAGCUAGUCCAUAAAAUCAGGAUGAAAUAAGAUGGUUCAAGUCUAUGCCUUUAAAAAAAAAAAACAUGUUCUUGUGACGCUUUUUAUGGUGGUAUAAUAAUUUCCCCUAUUUCUAAAGGAGGUGAAAAUGUUCUGACAGGAAUCCCUAUUUCACCCUCCAGUUUCCUUUCAAGCUGAGAUCUGUAAUGUUGUUGAUGCACUGUGCAAUCUAUAACACUCACAGAGGGUCUCCUGCAUCCAUUAGGCAUUAUGUCAAAUUAGCAUUUCACAAAAUGAAUUUUCUGACUAAGCAAGCCAUCAGAGGCAUACUGUAGUGUGAAAACUGAAAAACGCACACGUCACCCCGUAGGGUAAUGAAAAUAAAAUGCACACAUCUUUUAUUCAUUCCUGUUGGUGACGCAGGUGAUUAAAUUCAGUCUGGAAACCAUAAAAAUUAUUUAUGACCGCCUAUUUUCCAGAAGAAGCACGAAUAGCGAGCAAGAGAGAAAGAGGGUAGUGUUUACAUAUCUGCACGACCACCAAAGGGCCAACUCAGCCAACGCAUGAAGCACAUCUAGCUCCCCAAGUGGGAGAUUUUAAACCUCUUUUCUUUUUUGUUUUGGGUAAAAAUAGACCAUCUAAGGCUACAGAAUAUCAUGCAGAAUAAAAGAAGCUGUGAUCUUCUUAGUGCUUGCUUUCAGAAUGCCUUCCUGUUAAAACAGCCAAAUCCCACCUGGCUUCAUUCAGCAACAGUAACAUAGGAUCAAUAACAGUGUUUAAAUUUGGCCUCAUCAACACUUUGGCAGCGUGCAGUGACUUAAUUACGCUCUCAGUGAAUAUUUAUCUUCUAUCUUCACACCUUUAAAGAUACUCCUGUGGUACAAAUUAUCACUCAAGUACUGCAGUUACAUAGAAUGUCAAUGUCAUUUAUCCCACUGACUAUCCCCCAGUGCAUGCAUUCACACUAUGACAGCACCAACUGCAUCGCUUGUGCACUUUGUAAAUAUUUCCUUUAUACUUUUUAAAAUAUUUUUGUAUCCUUAUUUUAUUGUAUUCUUCUUAGUACUCAUUGCGUGUUAUCUGUACUUCUUUGGGUCGAGCUGUCCUUCUCAUCCAGGGCAUUGUUGACUGUAUUUAAACUGAAUAUGACAAAUAAACCAAUCUUAAAUCUUGAUCUCUAGUGUUUAUGUUCAGUUGAGUAUUUCCAUUUCAUAGGACUUAACGGUGACGGAAGCACUUUCAUAUCAAGAUCCUUGUAAUAAGCAUGAACUCAUAAUUAAUAAGCUACUUGUACAAUGCCAAUUAGCAUUAAUAAAUGUUAAUAAGCUGCAAAGGGGCAUUGUUGGCUGUUAAUAAGUGCAACUUAAAGGGUUUAUUCAUUCUUUAAAGCAUUUAUCUCAGUCUUUUAUGGUCUUAUUCAUGUCACAUGACAUCUACUGAGGAUUUUAAUAAAGGCUCAUACAGUGAUGUCUUUGUAAGUAACUCCCUUAUUAAAUUUUUAAAGCUGUCUAAAGGCUGUAAAUGGUAAUACAUUCCUUGUAAGUGUGCUACACAUAUAUAUUAUGUUUUUUAUCUUUAAUUAACCUUUAGAAAGUCUGAAAAAUGCCCAUGAACUGUUAAUUUGUGACAAAAUUACUUUCCCUUGUCAAGAGUGUAAGUUUCUGUUUUUGGAUGGAUGGAUGGAUGGAUGGAAAGCUAGUUGAAUUUUUCAUCCCACCAGUAUGUGACAUCAUUUUAAUCCUUUUGAGUUAAACCCAUUUAAAAUGAAUGGAAACUCUUUCAGAACUGGUGUUUCCUUCAUAAAAGACCUGAUUAACACAGAGUUAGAGGCUGAUUGAGGAAAAGAGCAAACAAGGUUAAAUACCUGAGAGUAAACUUCUUCAUAAAGGCUCUUAUUUCUUAUUUGAAUGCUGAGCUCCCCUGCUAGUUUCAAGCGCUCUUGAUUAUCUAUUUGAUGCCCCAAGGCAUUCUGAGUUAACACAGUCUGAACAUUAUAAAUGUGCAAUUGUUCAAGGUCAAAAUGUUAAUAUUAUUAUUCAAAAACUCCACUCUAAUUUAAUAUUGAACUCUACUCUGGGUUACAUUGUCUCUUGGUACAUAAAAAAUGCCUUGCAGUUUCCAUUAUAAGACAAUGUGGAGAACUCUCCAACUUCAUUCAUACAUCAGGUUUUUUCCUUGAAGGGGUCCAAUAUGUUCUGUUGGCUUGACUUAUAGUGUCUGCUGUGGAAAUGGGUGUAAACUUGUAAUAACUCUCUCCACAACAUUGCUUUUGCAGAUGAAGAUAUCAACAUAAGUGAGCAGUGUAUGCCUCAUUUAUUUUCUCUAAUUACUUCAAAGAUGUUUAAAAGAUCAGUGGUGAGGAUACUUUGUUGAUAGAUGCACCAUGAAUCGAUGCUAAACUCAUUUUUUUUACUUCAGGAUGUGUUUGACAUUCUGUUUAUUCCUGAUAGUUGUUUUCAGAGGAAAGGGACAGUAAUUCAAAGAUAUAGGUAUCAGUUGGCAAGUAACAUUUUUGGACAAAGUAAGAAAAAAAACGAACUUGGACUGGUCUGUUUUUUCACUCUUCAAGGCCUUGGGGCCAUUUUCACUAUCACUGCAGUAUUGGUCCAUGGUGUGUAAUUAAAAGUGCAGCACAAUUUCAUCUAACAGCCAUUUUGCUACCUCAAUAAUAAUAUGAUCUCCCCUGUUGAAACAUUUUUGAUUAGAUGAGCCAUAUAUCCUCUAAGCUAAUUUGUUGGACAAAUAUGAUCAACAUUUCCAAUAUGAGCAGCUGAGUUUUCGGCUGCCAAAAUGUCUGCUUUUAAUGUCUGUUGAGUCUACAAAAGCUUCUCCCAUGAUAAAACUAAAGGUGCAAACUAGCUAAACACACAGAGCAUGAGCUGAGCCCCUCAGGAGGCAUGAUGUUAAAUCAGCUUGGGAGGAGAGAACACGUUUGGUUAACAUGUGUUACUCUGGUGCUUGGAGAGAUGUUUCCCAGGGUAGAAAACAGCUCAGUGUUAUUAGGCACGGAGCCAACCAGACGUUGGUGGUGGAGCUCAGGGACAAUUUGGGUGAAAGAGUUUGUUCACCAGCCUGCAUCUGACUUCUGUGAAGGAUGAGACCACCUUCAUAGUGCACACAUGAGCUAUGUGCAGUAGAUGUACGUUUUCUCCAAAAUGAGUUGAGCAAAGUCAUGUUUCGAAAUUAUUUUUCAAGUUUUAGGCCAACAAAAAUUAACAUUUUGAACAAAAUUCCAAGUGAAUACAAGAAGGGCAUAGAUAUGAAUAAACACAUUUAUUCAGAGUGUAAAUGCUGUUUUCACGGCCUCAAUCUUUAUGCACAGUCACAAAAAUAGAGCAGUUACUCCUCCUGCAAUCAUGGACUAAACUAGGCUAAGGGAUGCUAAUGAGGUCUGGGACAAACAACACUGCUGUGGCAAAUGAGGGUGUAUUCAGACAGUGGCAUGUGCUUGGAAAAGACAAUAAAUUUACUUUUUUUUUCAAGAAACCUAAAAUGAUCAUUUGUAGGUUUAACUUUGGUAUUUCAAACACUCACUCACACAUACUAAGAGGAGUUACCAAAACACUCUCUACUGGUGCCAAUACUGGAGCCAUAAACAAACCUCAACCAAAACGCCACUCUAUAGCCACAAAUAAUGCUCAGAACAGCACCUAACUUCAUCAACUAUAGUACUAGCCACCUCUCAACAUCUUUUUAACUUUGCCUGAUUUCUUUAGUAAAGAGACUAAACACAACUCACCCACUCUCUUUCAGAAGCCACUUCUUUGUAGCAAGAUGAAGACCUCAGGCCAGUCCAUUACGGACUACAGCUCAAGGAAGAACGUUUAUGAUAAUUUCUUCAUGGAAAUGCAAUCAGACCGAGACACUAAUGCAGAAGAACUACUGCAUCUGCAGUGCAAAAUGAUAAAUAUGGUGAUUAUUACUUCAAGGAAAUGAUAAAGUAAUGAUCAUAAAUGUUCUUCCUUGAGCUGUGUCACCCCGUGUGUGACACCCCUGUGUCAACCAGUCCGUAACAGACUGGUUCGAGAUCUCGCUACAAACUAGCGGCUGCUGGAAGAAAGUAAGUGAGUUGGUGGCUACUACAAUGGCUAGGACCCUAUAUGUACUGUUGAUGAAGUUUGGUGCUGUUCUGAGCAUUAUUUAUGGCUAUAGAGUGCCGUUUUGGUUGAGGUUUGUUUAUGGCUCCUCAAACCGCUGUGUAUUGCUAUUGUGCGGUUGUUGCUAAAGUUGGUAUAACGAGAGAAACAAGCAGUCGGCAACAUUCAUCUCUCAAGGGGGUGUCUAACUCAUUGUUAAGGUGUGUUUGACCCUUAAUCAAUUUUACACCGGAAUAUCCCUUUAAGCGCUGUUACCUAUUUUUGAGCAGGAUCACAGCAUGAAAAAUAAUAAGUAUAUAAUAGAAGAUGUGAUUUUUAUAUCUCGUGCUCUGAUGCAUCCUGAUUUCUCUAGAGAUGGAAUUAAGUCUUACUCACUCACAAGCUUGUCACAGAUGACAUUCUUGCAUCCAUCAUAAUAGUUGGCUGCUGAGUGGCCUUAAAGCAGCCAUGGUUCACUAAAGGUCUAUCAACCCCGUGACAGCCAUUUACCUCUACCCUAUACUGAUCUAGACCUGCUCCUCUCAGAUCAAUGAGCAGCGGACAUUGUUGAAUUGCCUUAAGGAUGGAGGGACUAUUAAGAGUGUUGACAAAAUUAUAGAGAGGUAGAAAGAGAGACAGACUGCUCGAUAUCUUCUUUGUUUUGAGCUUGCAGAGGCUCCAGGGAGAAUUGUGCCGGUACAGCUGCAUUAAAGUAUAGCCAAAUGCAGGGUGAGAUAAGAGUGUAGAGAGAUUUGUUGGCGUUGGAAAAAAUCUCCCUUUUAAAUGAGGGAGCGUUAAGCUGGGUUUUCUAACAACUCUGAAAUAACAAUGGCCGUGGGGAGGAGAGGUAGGAUAAUGAAAUGUGAAAAUUGGAGUCACCGAGCAGUUGGAGGCGGUUUGUACUGCAGACGCUGUUACUUUCGGGGAAUCAAACAUGCAAAGCUGUAGUUAUGGAUCAUUCAGAGGUGCCUUGAAGGUAAAAGACGACGUGUUUAUGGCAGGUUAAAACCUGAAUUGAGUUUCUUAGGCUUUAGGCUGCUCUUCCUGUCUUAAUGUGGUCGGAUCUUUGAUGAAUUUAUCAGUGGCUGUAGAGGGAUGAAAAGAGGCUAGGCGGGUACAUUGUAUUUGCAAAUAUUCUUGCUGAUAAAUUUGUCAAGAUUUUAAAUACUCUUUCAAUUUUAUUCGCUGUAAGUAGAAACAAUUUCUCUUGUGUUUUUGUUUGAUAGCAUCAAAGAGCAACAAUGCCUAUGAAAUAAAAUCUCCUGUCAAAAUUUUAACCUGAAGCUACCAUAAACAAAUGAAAAAGUGAGAGCGUGGUUAAAAGUACAGGAAAGAGAGGUGCUGGUAAAGACAUUAUUAUUUUUGUUGUGUAUUUCUUUCUUUCUUUUAUUAUUAUAAUUAUUGUUGUUAUAAUUAUUAUUAUUAUUAUUAUUGUUGUUGUUAUUAUUAUUAUUGUUUUAUUUAUUAUUAUCAUUAUUAUUAUUAUUAUUAAGUUUUAUUUUAUUUUUAUUAUUAUUUUUUUAUUUAUUUAUUUAUUUUUCAUUAUUACUGUUAUUGUUGUGAUAGUUAUAUUAAAAUGCUUUGGCAAUAUUGUCGUUGCAGUCAUGCUAAUACAGCUUAUUGAGAUUUGAAUCGAGAAAUUGAGUAAAAUUGGUAAAUAAGGAGUUAUUUUGUGAUUGUUUUGACCUGUAAAGGUAUGGUCAAGGGCCAAACUUCCUCAUCACAGCUGAAAAAUGAGCAGGCAAUAAAACUUGUAACAAGAUCUGUGCUGAUAUAGAAAAGCAUACAGCUACUUUUUCCACACUAAAUAUCCAGAGGAAUUACACUCAUACCCACACACGCGGUGGGUACUGUGUGAUACUCUUAAAAUCACCUGAGAUGUUAUCUGGUGUGUGGUCAGCAUAAGGUACCUGAUAAUGUACUUUUACCUUGAUAUUUGUAUCUCUUAUGAACUUUGACUGUAUCCCCACUAAGCGACUUCUUCUCAACUCCCCUUGCAGAAUCUUUAACCAUGUGAAACAGAAGCUGCAGGAUAUCUCAAAACUAACAGCAGAGCCAUCAUCUAAUUUAUUCCAGGAGGAUAGAUUUCAUGGAGGAGCACUGAAAACCCUGUGCAUUUUCUUUAUGACAUUCACCUCUUUUCAGGUGACCUGACGAGAGCUAAGGUGAAUCCCUAAACAGAUCUCCACUUGCUCAGUCUCAUUGUCAGAAAAGCAAAAGAUUCUUUCCUGUGAAAUUUGCUCUCAUUAAAGUAGUCACCUCUUCCCUCAUUAGAGUGUGAGAGUACGGGGGAUGUAGAGUCUUGAACCUCCUUUGUCAUGGCUCAAUCUGUCCCGUCUUCCUCCAAAAAGACUUUUCUCUCUGCUGUGUUUUGGGACUAUGCAGCAGGGGAGCUUGGAUGAAUGAAGCCUGGAUGACAUAUGUAAUAUAAGGAGUUUUUGCUAGCGGGUAUAGAUGUUGGGAGCUGGCAAAGGGAUACCAGCUGACAAGUGAAUCUCUCCAAGGAGUCAUGGUAUUCACACUGAACAUUAUUUACAAGUGCAUGGUUCAAAAACAGGGGGAAGAGAUAUAUGUAAUUUGACUGAGGCAGUAAGGCAUGUUCAUGGUUUGUUUGGCACUAAAUAAGUUAAUAAUUUUCACUUAGCUACUUUUGAAUUCAGCCACUCAUGCACUUGAUCAUGCGCUCAUGUAGCCUGGCUGGGCCAUCCAGUUGCGUGAAUCACUUGCCGUUCCUUCCCACAACAGUCUGGACUUCGACCAAUUGGGAGCGUGUAUUAGAAAUCAGAAAAUAACUGGGCCAAUCAGUGACUGUGUUUCCACUGUUCCCCGGACAACAGGGAAAGGCAGCCCCUGAUUGGUCCAUGUGUAGAUGAUGACGUCUAACACAUGCUGCAGGACUUUUCAAAGCGCUGUUCAUUCAGAACGCCGUUAAUUCUGCAGUUGACUUUGCAAAGUCAGCAGAAAUCGUUUAUAUCCGCAGAAGAAGACGUAAAAGACAUUGUUUGCUCGCACACGUUGAAAUAUUACCAAACCUUUACUUGAUGCUUGAGAGCCCAGCAGGGAACACAGUUGCACACUGUGAUGAUGUCAGAUGUUUGGUUACGGUGAUUGGUUACAGUGGUCUGUCUAUCAAGGAAAGUACUCCCGCCCACUUUUAGGGCUCUCAAUUGGCCCAAAUCCAGACUGUUGUGGGAAGGAACGGCAAGUGAUUCACACAACUGGAUGGCCCAGCCAGGCUAGCACUCAUGCACUCUUUACCCCUCACACACACAACCUCUCCCUCUAUUCCUCUCUUCCCUUUCCCUUCCCACCCACUGACGUACUUGCGCUACAUCACUUAAUCAACCAAGGUGCUUCUUUCACAUGAAAAUUUCAUGCAACAGAGAUAAUUUCAGCCUCUACUUCAUUUGUUUACAUUUUGCUCCUAUGUUUGUAUUUUUGCUCUAAUGGUUUUAUGAUUGUAUUGUACUGUAUUGAAUUUUUGGCUUGGAAACGGACUUGGGUACUAAUUUUGUACUACAAACCGUAAAAGGUGUAGGGUAUGACAAUAAAGUUCCUUGAAUCCUUGAAUCCUGAAUCCUUGAUGUGAUAUUGAAACACCCUCAGGAGCAAUUGUUUGGAUUUUUAUGUUGUAGGAAGGUUUCAGAAAUGUUUGUGUUGCAGUUGGAGGGACAUUUUUACAUCAGAAUUUAGCGCAUAAAUUUGGUUACCCACAACAGCUGUGCUGCAGAGCCCUGUCAUUGCACAUUCACACUUCUGGUGACAAUGUUGAUCAGUUUUUUUUAUUUUUCCUGUCUGACUGCGGAUGGUCUGAGAUGCUUUGAUACAUCUGUGCAUUAAAACCAAGCAACAACAAAGUUUUGAAAAGGAGCCGGACUUUGUAGUAGGUUUCACGUCUGAUUAGAUUUUAAACUUCUAAUGAUUAAGGUUAGCAAAUGUUUCCAAAUAGACCGCUCUCGAGACAGCUUUGGAGGGCUAUCAGCAACUUUAUUAAAAAUAGUACCGCAGAAAGGAGACAGGAAACGCAGACAUCUCCUGAUUACAGAAAUUCAGAGGUUAGCGGGGGUUCAUAGUACUCGACCAACUCUAAGUAGGAGUGUGAGGGCUGCCAAAGUCUGAAUAUUGAGCUCGUUAGAAUGAAUGAAAGGAGUUUUACUAUUUUCUAUUCAGAAAAUCAGAUCAAAGUCUCUUUUUUUCAUCUGAGGCCGCUUCAAAAUGUGGAAUUCAUUUAAUCCAUUUUUCUGCUCUCCCAGUGGAAAUUAGAUGCAAAUAAGGCAACAAUAAUAUAAACCGAGUCAAUUUAUCAUUCUGCUGUGAUUCAUAUUGUGUAGUGUCGUUUGUUACUGCUUAUAAAUAGCAUAAAAAAUGGCAGAACUGGUUUUAUUUGGACAAAUAGGAUUUUAUGAUUUCCCCUGAAAUGUGAACUUUAUUUUUGAUAAGCUGUUUACUUAAACGAUGGAAUAAGUGAGGAUGUAAAAUGACAGCAGAAAUGAAAAUGAAAGUUGUUUGGAUAAAUAUGUCAAAGGAGCGCUGAAGUAAAACAAAUGCUACCACUUUCCUGCUCAUUGUAUCUUAUAAAAUGACAGAAAAUGCUGCAUUAAUGGAGCUGUUUAAGAGGGAGAGAACUCCUGCUGAAGCGCACACUGUGCUUGCAGAUAUUCCAGACUGAAUCAUCCUUAAAGUUGUUCAAUAAAUUUCCUCUCAAUAUACGGAGAAGUCAUGAAUACCUCUAUGUUUUGGUUUCCACUUGUGUCUGUCAGAUUACUCUCUUGUCCUGUCUUCCAGGAGUCGAUCAGCACAUAAGUGGGAUUUUCACUUGUAACAGAACCAGCUCAGUGCAGUAAAACUCUGGGUGUCAGCAGAAUCUGCUGCGAACUUGGCAGCCUGUGGCUUUUGGAUCAUUUCAUUGCACUCUCUGGCACCUGAUUGAUGGAGCUGUUUGUUCCUAAUCACUUCGGAGAUAAAGCACCACGCAAAGAUUGUUGAAAAUGGAUCAUAAGACUCUGCAGCAUAAGGAGCAGGAGCUUCACUUGUGUUCGGGACAUAACUUCAGAUAGUCUUACAGCCUCCAAGUCCCUACCUGUGUCUCGCUUUUAUCGAACAAUGGUCAUUUUAGCCCGCCUCUCAAUUUCAGAUAUCUGUUUGCCAGCAGCCUCAUUUGGUUUGGUCAGCUUGUUCAGCUUUCUGAUCUAUCGACGGUUUACAAAAGCUGAACAAUCAGAUUUAAAGGGAGACCGAUCUAAUUCAGCGUGGAAAUCAAUUUUAUUGAAGCUGGUAUCUGUUCUGUUGCAGAGUUUGUGUGAUUCAAUAUGAAAAAGAGCUGCCUAUCGAGAAAUGUUAACAAUCCUAACUUAGUGCAAGGAAGGCAGAUUGAAGACUGAGAGAAGAGAGAGGGGGAAAAGGAAGACGAGGACAGAAGAAAAUGAGGGUUGUGUUUGUUUUCUUUUCUUUAUUUAAACAAUUGAAUGUCAUUACCCUUACUUGUUGACACAAGAAAUACUGGCUGGUUAGAUGAAUUACUGUUAUUAAUGUAGGCCUGAAAUGCAGGUCACAUCUUGCUAGAGCUGUAGUGCAGUCACCUGUCACUAGCUAUUGCUUACGGCUAUUGCCCUAAUGCUAUAAUGGUACUCUUUGAAUGCAAACAAGCACAGAUGACAGACGGCAUCUUACAGUGUGGCCUGGUUUGACAAUAUUUUGAUUCAGAAAAUAGAGAUAAAGUCGUGCAUAGACUGUGUCUGGUUUAGUAUGGUGCAUAAUAAGCAUAGUCAUGUGGAUGUUAUCCUGCAAGGAGGAACUGAAGCCUGUGCUACUGGCUCUGCUAACCUUAGCCAGGUUGGAACCUAACCCUUGGUAGGUAAGACAGACUGACCAAGUGAUCGAGGAAAAGAUUCACCUGAAACAUCAGGCCACCCGUUGGCUCUUCUCUCUUUUAAAUGUGAAAACCCCAGCCUAAAAUGCAGGACAUCUCCCUUCUUCCUGUGAGUCCAUCUGUUAAAGUAAAUGAUGUGCUGUGGUUACAAGGGGGGGCAGUAUUAGUGCUACUAUCACCUUCAUUGCACAGUUGCCUCUUAUAUGAACAAAGUGUUGCUGAGGUUUUCCUUGUUUUUGGCAUUUUUCUCCUCCCAACAGUGCCAGGAGAAACAAUUGGAAGUAGCACAACACAUGCUGUGAUGGAUUACAGAGAGGAUAAAGUACACUACAUCUACGGACCUGUGUCCACUGCCUCUGUUGUAAACAUACUCUACUGUGUGCUGGGAUAUCUGGCAUCUAGGUUCUUUUGCUCAUAACCCUAAACUAGAAAUAUUGGGGAUUACACUUUUAUAAAACUACAUCUUUGGCCACCAAGAUAUAGAUUUACCAAUCUACUGCUCUUUCUUUGUAAACACAUUAUGGGCCACAUCUUUCUCCAAAGACAGUGAGAUGUUGAAUACUGUCUCUACAAGGACAUCAUUGGUGAAAUACUUAAGCUGUGGUUUGGUGGUUUGGCCUGAGAAAAAGAAGCAGCUUCCACUCAGACUGUUUGUUUGAAAAGCCGCCAUGUCUCCAGUCUCUAAGAGGAAGGAUGCUUUCUGGGUUGUUGAUGUUAGCUUGAAGAUGAACAGGGACGCAAACUCUCGCACAACACAAAAUUGGCUGAAAAAACAAACCAUCCUGAUGAAGCCGAGGAUGCAAACAAAUUCUGAAUAGUGUGGCUGAAGCUCUGUUGGUGUGGGGUGAUCCAUGCCCUCAGGGUUUGUCUAGCACUGAAUGUAGAAGAUCUCUAAAUGCUUCACUGCAUGAGAUUGGAUUUCUGUUUUCCUGGGGGAACUAAAAGCACCAUAGAGGUGUUAUUUGUGGAAUCAGAGCUUCACCAGAUUAGUGGCACUGAAAUAUGGAGGAACCUGAAGGCAGCUGGGUAAUUUUCCAUUUACCUGAGAGUGUUUUUCUGGGUAUCACGUGGAAUUCGUCCUGUGUUUGCUGUAAACAUUCUCGCUCUCUGACAGACUCUGUCUGUGUAGAAACUCUGCCAUAAACACAGAGGAAGCUCUAUCUGAUAUGUCAUACAUAGCAGUGAAGAAGGCUCUACUGUGUGAGCUCAAAAGAAGCUCUGUACCUGAGUGUUUACCGCUCUGAGCUUGGCCAGAAUCAGAGUCCUGCUGUUUGGAUAACUUUGUGUAUUUUCAUGCAUUCAGCACAUCACACUGACCAAAAGUCGUCUUGUCGACAGGAAUGUGGUCAGCAUUUACAGGGAAGUGAUUUAUCACCGGUGUAACAUUUCAAGAAGAGAGCAAAACAGCUUUCAUUUGAGACUUUAGUGUAUUUCUCUGUUUCUCUGGACCUUAAAGUCAGCAGUAUGUCAGUACUAGAGUCACAUGAUGGUGUCAGCAGCAGAAAAUAAGUAUCUGCUUUGUGAUUGUGAAACUAACUUCAGCCUGACCUGCAGUCUACAUAAUGCCAUUGCAGACCUCAGGGAGAUGUUUAUGGCACAGGGUGGGAUUUGAAUAUUUUAUGUCGUGUUUUUGAAGGUGACAUUUUUGUUUGUUUCUGACAUUUUCACACUUUAUAAUACAAAAGAAUAAAAAAAUGUUUCAGUUGACACCGAUUCACUAAUUUCAACGGAUUUCUCCUUAUAAUUUAGAAAAUUUGAAUAUUUUUUUCAGUUUUAGUGUCCUGUUUAAAGUUGGCUCUGUUCUGUUGUCUCAAGUCUGAGUCGUGCUUCAAUUAUAGAUUCAUGGUUAUGCUGAUAAAAAGUAUUUCUAUUCAAUUAUUUUCCAGCAGCUAACUUUGAAAUAUCAGUUGUUUGAAGUACAGCAGCUCAAAAACCCUCUCAAACGGUUCAUUGUCUUUGAUUUAUCACUGGUGUAGCAUUUCAAGAAGAGAGCAAAACAGCUUUCAUUUGAGACUUUAGUGUAUUUCUCUAUUUCUCUGGACCUUAAAGUCAGCAGUAUGUCUGUACUAGAGUCACAUGAUGGUGUCAGCAGCAGAAAAUAAGUAUCUAGUUUGUGAUUGUGAAACUAACUUCAGUCUGACCUACAGUCUGCAUAAUGCAGUGGUUCUCAAUCCAGUCCUCGAGCCCCCACUGUCCUGCAUGUUUUGGAUGUUUCCCUGCUCCAACACACCUGAUUCAAAUGAUCAGCUCGUUAUCAAGCUCUGUAAUGGCCUAAUAACGAGCUCAUCAUAUGAAUCAGGUGUGUUGGAGCAGGGAAACAUCCAAAACAUGCAGGACAGUCGGGCCUCGAGGACUGGAUUGAGAACCACUGGCAUAAUGCCAUGCAGAUCUUUACUCUACAGUAUGGUUGAAAAGGAUUUGUGUGUCACAUUGAACUGCUAGAGCUGGGAGUGAGGGCGUGGGGUAGGGAGGCAGUGGUUAUUUUUUGUUGUGCAUGAUGUUAUUUUCAAUAUUUAUACAUUUUCCAAGACACUGUUUCAAGCUGAAGGUAUUAUUUUUAAAUUUUAGCAACAAAAGCAUCCAUUGAAGGACGUAAAGUCCAACAGUUUCCGUCAGGCCUCAUUUCCUCACCUCUCAUGGUCAUGUGAGUCCUCACAGCCUGGUCUCCAUGUGAACUCUCAUUUGCAUUCCAGUUCCCUCUCUGCCUGUGGCUCUGCUUCCAAACACCGUCCCCAGUGAGGUUUUGCUGUCUGGAUUUCACCGCGUCCCUCAUUGAUUUGUCCUCAUCCAUGAGCUGCAGGGGACCUCCUCCUGGGUCAGUCCCUCUUUAGACUGCAGGCUGAAGGUCUCCGACAGUUCAAGUGGCUCCUUUGGUUAUUUCCUCAGCCUGGGUGAAUAAAGAACAGUGUGAGGACAUGAAAUUAUUAUUUCACUGUACAAGGACAAACUGUCAAUAUCUUCCUCUGUGCUCUUGGCCUUUUGGCAAGACCUUCACAGGCCCAGUGGGAAGUAAGAUGGAGAGAGAAAACAGCAACAUCAAAACCCUCAUGGCAGGUUCUCCUUUGGUGCCAAACUGCGAUAAAAAUACAGCACACUUCUGUUGGACUUGUAUUCAAUUAGAUGAAUUAUAUCUGACUUAAAUAAAGCUAAAAAUAAUCCAACAUGUCCCAGAGGACAGAGAAAAGCUAACCGACAAUGACACACAGCAAGAAUCUGUCGUUUCCCUCCUUUUGUCCCACCUCGCUGCUCUCCUGCAGUCAGUCUGUUUCUCUUUCUUUUAUUUCACCACAUUGAGCUUUCACAUCAAAGUGGCCCGACUAUGGCCUCCUGCAGGUGAGAGGCGCCCGUGGGAGCUGAGUCAUCGCCACAGCUUGUCACGUAUAUCAUCUCACCAGCUCUUUGAUGGAUGUGCUCUCCACCUCUCUCAUGUCUUUUACUGUGACAAUGAGUGCUAACAGAACAGAAUAUGAUCAUGCAGUUUGCUCUCUAAUUUUCAGCGUGUCUGUGAAAGUCUUUACCGAGCAGACCUCAGGGUCUCUGCUCCCCGAGGAGCAUCACAGCAGAGGUGGACAGCUCCCACUGCGCUGCAGCUCUGGGGAAGAUUAAGUCGCUGUCAGCAGCCUGUCUCUCUCCCAGAUGUCAACUGAUGCCAACUGUUGUGUACCUUCAGUACAAAUCCCACAGUGCUGUCAGGGAGAGCUCAUCUCACUAUUUUCUGUGCCACUGAUUUCUGUGCUCCACCAGACACCAAAGGAAGGUGUGAAUAUAUUUACUGACCUCUAAAUACUGACGCUGUGUUGUGCUUUUCAGUAUGAAUAAAUCAGCACUGUUUAGUUUGCUCUGAAAGAAUUAAUCACUGAAGUCCAGAAAUCAGAUGAAUAUUCAUGUAUAUUAGAUGUCAUAUAACUUUGACAAAGUGAGGGGGUCAUAUAAAGAGUCAAAGGAGCAAUGGUGUGAUAAAGACCCAGAGAAUAGAGAUACUGUAAACCAAUCUACUGGGGUUGGGCAUCUUAGAUAUAAAUUGGGUGACCAUAUUCUAAAUCUUCAAAAAGAGGACAUGACUACGCCGGGGCAUCUCGAUAGAAUGUCUCCGUUCUGAUAUAUUAAAGAUACGAUUCACACCCAAAUCACGAUACAGAGCUGCUCUUUGGGCUUUUCUCGGUGACUAUUCUCUCUAUCUUCUAACUUUGUUGUAGAGGGCUGUCCGAAAUCCACCACGAAAUUCGCCUCACAAAACCAUCCUGUAGGAAUUGGCGGAAGACAAAAAUCACAGCCGUUCCGUAGUGGAGCUGUUUGUGCUUCCUACCUACUCAGCCGCCGAAAUAACCGUUGUUCUACGCUACACGCAACAUUUUUGUUCUCAUUCAUGAAACUGUGAAAUUGGGGACAUUUCUGGGGACAGCUUUAGCCGGGGAUAGGUCAUCCAACAUGGGGACUGUUUCUGGAAAUCGAGGACAUAUGGUCACCUUAUACUCAGCUGCUCUACCGGUGCACCCGCAUCGUGCAUGCGCAUGACCCUGUAUCCAUAGGUAUCAGUUAAUCCUCUCAUCCUUACCAUCUACACAAGGUGCUGUAUGAAUGUUUCUGGCCUGGUUCCAUCAGCAGCUCACAUCAUUGUGCUGAACAUGAGGAAAUUAACAGGAUCAGCUGACAGCUCCAGGUUUAUGGUGAGUUUGGGCUUUUUUGGGUAAUAUAUCUUUUGCCGGUGUUAGACAGAUAGUCAGAGAAAUUUCACAGAUAGAAACUAACACAAGAGAGAGAGAGAGCAGAUGCUCCAGAAGAUGCUCCAGAAGAGCAUCUGCAUUAAUUUCUCACCUUUUUGUAAAACUUCAGCCACAGUUGAGCAAUGAUUCACUGAAACCACUCAGCUCUGCAUCAUUGACAGGAAUGAUAUAUGCUUUUAGAAGCAAUUAAACUUUUGAUUUAUUCUCCUAAAUGAAACUCAGGUUAAGUCUUUUCUAAAGGCUUUUAUAAACCUUUUUAAAUAAGGUGAAUUUAGCCCUGCGCUCAUUGACUCAUUUGUUUGAAUCCAAUUACAAAUGUGUCACAGGAUCUUAUAACUAAUGCUAGCAAGAUGUUAAGAGUCAUUCACAAGGAACAGGUAGUUUCCUUUUAUUGUACUGAAAAACCAAACUCUGACAGAUUCAAGAGACCGAGCUGGGGAGAUUCUUGGCAUCAAGGGGGAUGUCAUCUGCUGGGUUUUUGUACUUCAUAAAAGCGAGGGUCAUUUCAUAAAAGCUAGGGCCAUUUGAACACAAUCGAGAGGUCAGAGGAUACGGCCUGACACAGAAUGAGACGACCCCUUUGUCAAUCCAUCUCUCGUCCCAGGCUCCCAAGCUGGCCUUUCAUGCUACCAAAGAAACAGCACCUUUUCUUAAGACGCAGGAAGUCCCCAAAGAGUCUGAUUUCUCCCGUUUUCUGUUUCUACAAGUGGCAGAAGUUGGUCCAAAAAGUCAUCCACAAGGCAGGGAGGAAUGAGGACUAAUUGUUUACCACAGGUACAGAGUGCAAUACCAGCAGUCUGUUUUAUCCAGCCCCCAUUGAGAUUCCAUAUGCUUGGUGAAAUCUGUUCCUUUCCUCCUGAUGGGUUGACUUGACUGUGUUGGUCUGUAUGAUAGAUUGAAAAGGAGCUUCAGCCGAGCACAGUCUGGCUUGCAUCCCAGAAAAGAACUGGCAUUUGAUCGUAGAAACUAUGCCAUCCACUUUGGCCUGAAGAAAUCUGAAACAUCCGAAUAAGGAAUUGGACGUUUUAAGAAAUACUUGUUGUUAGGCUAGGCAAUCUUAUCAAGAAAAAUAAGAUAAUUUAAUAUAAGUGAAAUCAUUGUCAGCUCGUUUUGCUAAAGCACUUGCUUUGCUUACUUGGUCUUAAACGUGUUCCCUUUUUUCAACUGCUGCUUGUCCUUGUCUCAAAGAUUGGUUUGUGAAAGACACAAGAUAAAUAGCCUAAGUCUCGUGGAACAUAUUUUAUUUUGCUUUGUCCUGUAUAUCAUGCCGAUAAAUCAACUGUAUGUGUGUGUAACCUUUGCGGCUGUUUGCCAGCACAGCUUGGUGUGUGCCAGGUUUGGUCAACAGCUGAGUGAUAAAUCUCCUCUCUGAGGGCCACAGGAAGAUGUGGGAGUUGCCAGGCUGAUUUAUUAAAGACAAAACAGCAUGUGAGUAGAGGAAUUAGAUUACUGAUGGGUCUGAGAAUGAUAUCUGCCGUUGCUGCUGGCAGAUAUGGAGGGCUGAUGUCGCUGUAGGUGCGCAUGGUACCGUCUGAUUGGAUGAACUGCUGGAGCUUGUGCAAAUGGAUCUAGAUGCAAACAGCAACUUAAAGGGAUAUUCCGGCAUAAAAUUAAUUAAGGGUCAAACACACCGUAACACCAAGUUAGACACCCCCACAAGAUGAAUGUUGCCGUCCACUUGCUUCUCUAGUAAUGACCGCACGAUAGCAAUACAUAGCAGUCUAAGGAGCCACACACAAACCUCAACCACAACCCACUCUAUAGCCACAAAUAAUGCUCAGAACAGCACCUAACUUCAUCAACAGUACAUAUAGGGUCCCAGCCACAACACUAGCCAGCAAACAUCUUUUUAGCUUUGCCUGAUUUCUCUAGCAAAGAGACUGAACAUAACUCACCCUCUCUCUUCCAGCAGCCGUUUGUUUGUACAGAGACCUCCGGGCAAGUCCAUCGACUGCAGCGGGGGGACACAGCUCAAGGAAGAACAUUUAUGAUCAUUACUUUAUUACUUCCUUGAAGUAAUUGUCACCAAAUUAAUCAAUAAAUGUUCUUCCUUGAGCCAUGUCCCCCCUGCUGUAGUCCGUAUUGGACUGACCCGAAGUCUCGCUACAAACAAGCGGCUGCUGGAAGAGAGUAGGUGAGUUGUGUUUAGUCUCUUUGCUAAAGAAAUUAGGCAGAGUUUAAAAAGUGUUUGGUGUCUAGUGAUAUGGCUGGGACCCUAUAUGUACUGUUGAUGAAGUUAGGUGCUGUUCUGAGCAUCAUUUGUGGCUAAAGAGUGACAUUUUGGUUGAGGUUUGUUUAUGGCUCCUUAGACCCCGGUGUAUUGCAAUUGUGGGGUCGUUACUUAAGUUGGUAUAACUAGAGAAGCAAGCGGUCGGCAACAUUCAUCUCUCGAGGAGGUGUCUAGACUGUAUAUACUAUGGACAACUUGGUUCCGCCUACCGCCUGUACACGGAUUUGAAGCCAAAUAGCUCUCAGUAUUUCUGGGAUUUUUCUUCAUACCCUAAAACCAGCGCUGCACAGUAGCAAUGCGUGCAUUCGGCCGCGCAGUCGCAGAGAGUCGCUGUGAUGAUGCUCGGCUCAAACAGCGUAUCCCCCGGGAGAGCUAAGCAAUCCCUGAACGCCCAUAGGCUGUAUCAGGUGUCAAUCAUAGAAAACAUGAACCCCCGAAUAACUUUUAAAAACAGAGCUUCACAGAAAAAAGAGGACUUGAGCACAAACCAGUCUUACAGUAACUACAUGUCAACAUCACAACAUCACAGUGGCUUCACCCAGCGAGGAGGCAGACACUGUCCAUUCUAUAUACAGUCUAUGGGUGUCUAACUCAGUGUUACGGUGUGCUUGACCCGAAAUUAAUUUUUACGCCGGAACAUCCCUUUAACUGCUCUCUUCAGUGGGAUAUGUAAUUCAAGCAAAAAGUUAUUCCCUCCAGAAACAAAGUCAAUCAUUCCCUCCAUUCAUACAGAUCUCAGCACAGAAAUAUCUGUAACAGUUCUCUUAGAGCAUGACAUUGAAGCUUGGAUUCCUUGUGCUAUAUCCAGCAGUAACUCUGAACACACAGUUCCUACUCUAAAUAUAACUUGAAUUAUAGUCACAAAAUAAUCCACCAGCAGUUCAAGAACAUGUAGUCAAUAAAAUAUUUAAAGCAGCAGAUUGUUUCUGUUCAGCUUGACCAUGAUAUGCUGUCCCCUGUGUUCACAUCAAAGAACUCAUUAGUGAGAUUCUGCACGACAUUUGCUACAUGGGAAUAUCUGUAGGGGGUUUUGCAUAUACGUGGUAACAGCAAAAACAUCCAGCUGUGUUCAGAGUUCAAUAGCAUGAAGGCAAGGCUUUAAAUUUUAAAUGUUCACAGCUCUCCUGUUUGUAUGAGAUGAAAAUAUUCAUUCAGUCGCUUUCUCACCCGUGCUUUUCAACGCUACACUUUGUUUGUGAAUAGGCAUUGAUUGGCGUUCUGAGCACGUUUUCAGAAAAAGAGAAUGAUAAUGUGAAAACAGAGUGUUGGCCUGGUUUCACAUUACUAUUCAAUUUUUUUUUAACAAAAUGAGCAAAAAGACCUUAUUGUCAGCGGGAUAAGACAGAGCCCAUCUUUCCAAUUCUCACACAUUUUCACUCUUAACUUACUGCAGCUUUGCAUUGAAGUCUCACAUCUGUUACUCCCCGCGGUAAAUCAGUAUUCACACAGCUUCUUACAUCCAGUUAGCUUUGUGUUUGCCUCAUAUACACUGCCACAUACAAACUCACUAUGCAGAUAACCUUCAGCUAGCCUUCAUGCUGUGUGUUUGCUGUGGUUCCAAACAGAUAUCCAUGUUUUCUCAUCUUAAUAGGUUCAAACUUGGAAGGAGUUACAUUUUCUUCUUUUUCUCUUUGUGCCAACUGAUCUGCAUUUGCCUUACAAAGAUAUGAUAGGCAUCCAUGAUGUUUUUCAAGACUUGAUAAGAAGCUUGAAUCCAUUUUCUUCAAACUCUCACACAUUUCCUAUAGACAGAUGCCUGGGUCAUAUCAAUUUUCACAGUGAUAUAGUUGUAGAUUGUCAUGGAGCGGAAAAUAGGACUCCUAUUCAUGACAAACACAUAGUGAGAUUUGUGUAAGCCAUUUUUAAACACAUUUAUAUCUGCCUUUCUUUUUAUUUAUUUACUCUGAUAGAUGAAGAAAAUGGAAAUGAUAUGAUAGUUAUCCUUACCUAACCUUACCUAAAAAUGAUAGACGUACGAGCAAAAUAUAACUAAAUAAAAAGACGACAGAAAAAGAAAGUAAGCCAGUAGAGAACAGAGCUCGAAAGGAGAAAACUAUUGAACCAGAACAUAAUGAGGUAGCAGCCUGCCAAGGCAACACUGCUUAGAGACCACAGUGAUUUACUUUAUAAUUGAUAUAAGAAUGCUCAAGGUGUUUCCAGGUGAUUUGCCAACUCUGGCUGCAAAAGAAGGUCACUAAGAAAUCACAUGCACCCUGUAUUUACUAUUUACUCUACUAUUAAUGAAUGAAGAAUAUUUAUGGUUUCAAGUUAAAUAUGUUGGCAUUAAUUUGAAUAGUUUCCAACAAUAGUUUAUGAAAUAUGCUGGAGUUCUGACAUUUUAUAUUCCCACUGCUCCAAGGAAAGUUGAGGAGACUUUUCACAAUGACUCUGUGGUGACACGCUAUCAAAUUAAUACAAUUAUGAAUUGCAUGCUUUGAAAGUACAGAUAACCCAUGCAGUUUGUUGAGAGAGAUCUUGAUGUACGUCUUUUAUUUUUUAAUUUUUUGUCACUACUUAUGUUUUCUACUACUUUUUCUCUGAGCAGAAAUGUAUGAAAUAAAGUAGUUUCUUGGACCAUAUAGCUUAGACUAUGUGUGAUGAAUAAAUGCCCAAAUAAUUUUGAUGUUAACGGUACCAUUUCCUCGUCUGGAAAAUAUACAGUUAUUGAUUUGGCAAGCUGUUUAGAUGGCCCAACUGUAGCCUGUUAGUUACCGCUGUCUCUCUCUGCUUCAGUGACUCUUUGUCGGGAUAACGAGGUCAAACUUUGUGUUUGUUUUUGUUCCCAGCAUACAUUAUCUUACAAUACUGGUACACUCUAAAGCUUUCUUAUUAUAUGCUAGCAUACUACAACCAAGACAUGAGGUUAUUUGUCAGAGGUUAUCAGAGGCUUUACUCGCCUGAGCCUGAAACAUAGGAAGUAGGGCUUAAAGGGAUGCUCCAGCGUAAAAUUAAUUCAGGGUCAAACACACCGUAUGCUCAUAAAUGUUCUUCCUUGAGCUGUGUUACCCCACUGCAGCUGCCAAUGGACUCGAUGGAGGUCUCGCUAAAAACAAGCGGCUGCUGGAAGAGGGUAGGUGAGUUGUGUUUAGUCUCUUUGCUAAAGAUAUUAAGCAAAGCUAAAAAGAUGUUUGGUGGCUAGGGCUAUGGCUGGGACCCUAUAUGUACUGUUGAUGCAGUUAGGUGCUGUUCUGAGCAUUAUUUGAGGCUAUAGAGUGGCUUUUUGGUUGAGUGCGUGGCUUUCUGUAUUGCUAUUGUGCGGUUGUUACUAAAGUUGGUAUAACUAGAGAAGCAAGCGGUCGGCAACAUUCAUCUCUCGACGGGGUGUCUAACUCAGUGUUACAGUGUGUUUGACCCUAAAUUAAUUUUACACUGGAAUAUCCCUUUAACGAUUUUGGAAAAUAAUCUUAUCGCGAUUUUUUCCCACAAUAUCGCAAUUCCGAUUUAACAUGCGAUUAUUUUUUUCAAGCUCCUCUUCUAAUGUAUUUUUCAACAAACACAAACAAUAAACCAAUCUGCAGCCUAUUAUAGUCAACAAUAUCAAAUUAAUUAUACAUUAAUUUCUUCUUUAUGGCAAUUAUCAUUUCACACACACACACACACAAACGCGCCCUUAUAUACGGUCAUGUUAGUAAUCUACGUACCGAUGGUGAGAUGUAGUCGGUGCCCAAAACACUGGAGUCUGGUUUAUUCGUUCAGCUGUAUUUGAUGUGUUUUUCGUCGUUACGCAGACCUGGUUUGAAGUUGAAGCGGUGGUCGCUGGUGUUUUAGCCGUUCAACUGUCGUAAGUGUUGAUAAAGGUUCGUAGUUUUACCUCCUAAUGGAGCAACAGUAGCGCGACAGGUUCUGCACACGUUGCGCUGCAGCAUCUUUUUUUUUUGCCAAAAUAAAUCUACACGACUGCCGUGCUGCCCCUCUUCAGUAAUAAACUUUCUGUAGUUUCCGCUUCUGUGGCGGAAUUUAGCCAUAUAGUGCAGCAGUUUUGACUUCUCCCUCUACCUGCUCUACUUAGUUCCGCUCACAAGUCACCUGACCAGAUCAUGUGACCAGUCAAAAUCGCAGCAUUUGUCAUUGGGAAAUUGCGUUUUAUCAUAUCGCGAUAUUUUCUUUUCUUUUGCCAUGUUACCGCAAUAAAAAGAAAAUUGAUGUCCUAUUCCUGCUACAGUACCAUUGUACGGUGGCCGAGAUCUGCCACUGCUGCAAAUAAAAAAAGAAUGCAAAAAAAGAAGUCACAACGGAAGUCACUGCUGCAAAUAAAAAAAGAAACUGUGCAGUUAAAAAAAAAAAAAAUCCACAAUGCGAUGCAAAAAAGAAAAAAAGUUACUUACUGUGAAAAUAAAAGGAUGCAAAAAAAAAAAAGAAAGAAAAAGCCACAACGGAAGUUAACUGCCAGGGACCAAUAAUGAUGACGCACCAGUGUGUUGCAAUCUAGGCACUGAAGACGACAGCGAGAAGACGAGCAAAGAAGUGAGCGGAAAGGUUAUUGUUUAAUUUCGCUUCAUGUGCUUUUCAAUGUGGUUAGGCCAUGUAGCGCCUGAGUCGAUAUGAAGUUGAACUAAAGCUAACAUUAGACCAGCAUCCUCCAGUUCAACUUCAUGUCGACUCAGGCGCUACAUGGCAGUGGCAGUUCUCAGCAAGAAAAAAAUUGAGCUCCUGGACACUCAAAACCUCAUCAUGCAGGCAGUGCUUGGACACAAAAAGUCACCAGUAGACACAGAACAAAACAAUAUAUUUUCUCCGCAUCAUCAUUCAUAAGCAAGAGGAGGCCUGUGAUCUGCAUUUUGUAAUUUUCUUACAAACGUGGUCAUUAUGUAGUGUCAGUCAUUGUGCAUUGAUGUGGAGAAACCACCAGGUUGAAACUAAUGGAAAACAUGUUAAGACCAGUUUGAUGCUGUCUCAGACCCUCUUCUAGUCUGAAACAGACAUGAAUGAAACAUGUGUGUCUUAUUGGAUUCAAAGAAUAAAAUGUCAGGAUUUGCAUACCUAUGAAUAAGAAGAGUAAGCAAUGAUGGUUGCGACAGGUUUAUCAGUCUCACAUAGACCAAAGCACAGCAGACAAGAGGAAGUGCGAUAUCAGCAGCAAACAAAUCAAAUCCAGCAUCUAUCUGCAGGUUUGAAUGCUUAACAACACAUAUAAAUAAAAGAAAAGAAAAAGAACUCAGUGUACCAGGGCAAACGUGACAUGAAGUCCCUCAUUUUUUUCAUGACAACAGUUUGAAAUGCUGAACAAUAUCCUAACAGGUUUCAAUGAAAAACAACGUUUAUACAGGUGUGCACUGUGCACAACACAACACUAUCACUCUAUUAGACUGGAUCGAGAACUCAAACCACUGUUAAAGAACUCAAAUUACUGCUCAGUACACAUGAACAUGAACCAAAACGUUCACCUCAAGUCAAGUCUGUCAGUAUGCUAUGGAUUAGUCCAUGUACAGUCAGUCCAUCCAGAGGUCACUCUGGGGUUCUGUCUGGGUCUCAGGCUGUAGGGCCCAGUAGGGCCGGUGAACAGGGGUAGGUCAGCAUUGUCAACAGCAUCAGUCUCCCAAACAGCGUUCUGGGAAGGGGGGCGGGGUCAGAGUCAGUGUGAAGGUCGUCAGAGUCUACAAACCAUGACCAGGACCAUAAGUAACACAUACACGCACAUCAAACACACAUCACCCAAUCUAGCAUUGUUAUCGAGAAAGGCGUUAACAGCUGCCCCUCUCGGGUGGGCACACGCUCAUAUAUUCAAAUGUUCACAUAUGACCCAGCCAUUUUCUUUAUUCCAGUGUUUUUUUAACCUUUUUCAACCCUAUAGAGGACCCCCAUAUCUACUCUAAACUUCAGCCGCCUCUGACUUCCUGUAAAAUUGGUCCUGGUUCGAAUCCACGACCUCAGGAGUCCCAGUCAGUCUUCUUAUCCUCUGAGCAAAGUGGACACACAGGAGUAUACUAUUUGUUUCCUCUUUCCUCAUUUGGAAGCUUGGUACUUAUUAAUACCAUCGUUUUAUACGGCCGUUAUGGUCCUAUGGUCCGAUCUCAACAAUAUAAAGAUCAAAAAGAACGAAAAAAUCCAAUCCAAUCCCCUGUCUCCCCUGCCCCGCACCGUCCCGCCCAUGGUCCCGCCUCCUCGCCGCUACCCCCUCACGUACAUGAGAUUAACGAGCUGCACAGCUACUGAAGCGUAAUGGAGUCGGAGGAGACAAACACCGAAACCAGGAGGCCGCCUCUGUUACCCUCCACAUUGAAGGGAGGGAAACGUAAAAGUUAUGAGGAAAAGCCUGCAGAGAGGAAGAAAUAUGAGCGAUACAGGUGCCAACGGAGAGUCUACAUUGGAGAAACGUACGACCGGUGUUGUGCCGUAGAAUGCACCCCUGCCAAAUGCACCCCUUCAUCCCGCCCACUCAUUAGCUUCUUGAAGUGGAGGAAAAUGAUCUCAUAUUUAAAAAAAAAACCCACGAAUAUUGGAUCAUGACAGCAUGUUAAAUGAAGCAGACAACUUUCCUCCUGUUUUUAUGUGUCUCAGAAAUGCGCACAUAGAGGUGUACUUGGUACUGUACAGGAAACUGUCAAGUUAGAGAACAUAUUUCCGGGACAGCAAAUAUUCCGAAUCAAAGAGCUAUUUUUUCGGCUUAUCUAAAUAGCCUGAAUGAAAUCAUUAAGAGCACACGCUUUUGAAUCCAUCCAACGGUAAGAAAAUUUUGGGAUUAUUUCGCCUUGUUAUGUACUUCCAACCGCGCUGCCGUCAGGGGGGCAUUCUACGGCAAGGGAGCAUUCUACGGCACAACACCUGUGGAAAGCUCUGCAGAAGGAUUUGGGACUGAAAACUGACGCUGAGACAGCCGAAUUUCUGUUGAACAGGUAAUUACUUUGUUUACUACAGUGGGAGAUGUCUGCUGAAUAACUCUGGUUAGUCUGUGCCUAUUCUGGCUAAUGACUGAACGUUGUUGGCCGGAAUGGGUCGGCUCUGUCAAUAGAUAUUACUAAUAAAGAUGCGUGGCUAACUUAUGCUAAUAUCAUAUUAGCAUAAGUUAGCCACGCAUCUUUAGCAUUCUAAACUGAGUUGAACUAGCCUGGAGGUCUCGCUACAAACAAGCUGCUGCUGGAAUAGAGUAGGUUAGUUGUGUUUAGUCUAUCUGCUCAAGAAAUGAGGCAAAGCUUAAAAGAUGUUUGGUGACUAGUGCUAUGGCUAGGACUCCAUAUGUACUGUGUACAAAGUUAGGUGCUGUUCUGAGCAUUAUUUGUGACUUUAGAGUGGCUUUUUGGUUGAGCGCAUGGCUUUGGAUAUUGCUAUCUGCGGUCGUUAGUAAAGUUGGUAUAACUAGAGACCCACUGAACAUUUGUUUUGUCUAAAAGAGGUCUAAUAGACAUCUAAUGUAGCCUAGACAACUGAAAAUCUGAAAUCAGGCUACCACAGGUCUAAAUAUGAACGUUUCUUAGACAUCUAAAUUUAGACCAAGUUUAGACUAGCCGUCUAACAGAGGUCUAACUUUAUAUUGCUCAACGGCUAUCAUAAUUAUCUUGGUUAAGUACUUGGAGAUCAGUUAUGCAACUCACAGUUGCUUUUUGAAUUAAAUAGUUAUCAAAUAACUAAAGUGCAAUGUCUAAAUUCCGUCUUUAAACAUAUACAGAAUGUAGAUGGUUGAAAUUAGGAAACUACAAAAAAACUGGAUGUCUAACAGCCUUCUAUUGCUUGUUGGGGAGGCGAGCAGUCGACAACAUUCAUCUAUGGACGGGGUGUUUAACUCUGUGUUACGAUGUGUUUGACCGUAACUGAAUUUUAUGCCGGAAUAUCCCUUUACAUCAGCUUCUCUUGAGGGAAAUCCAUAUUUCAUAAAGAGGCACUUUAUAAAGCUUAAAUACAGGACUAACUGACUGAAUAGGUUUGGUCAGGUUGAGCUCUAUGAGUCGUUUCCAUGCGAUGAAAAAGUCAGCAGACAUUGAGGAUGUAGAUUGUAGCAUCUGGCUCCUUGUUUUGAAAGUCCAGAUAAUCAAUGGUGGUGUGGCAGGAGAGCCCACAGCCAUUACUGGAUUCAGCUUGUUUACCAACUCACUCCAUGUCCUGUACUUUCUUAAUGAGGAUGUGACCGAGGGUGAGACAUCAUCAUGGUUAUCAGACAUGUGGGGCUGUGGCACGAGUCAGGAGAUCCUUACAGUAAAUCACUAGACUCUAGAGAGGAAUAACGAUCAUCAACUUGAUUUAUACGGCGGCAUGCAGGCAGGAUAUCUGUGGGGUGGAGGCUGAGCUGUAGUGACAGAGCCAGGAAAUGAAAAAUAUGUUUUUCUUUUCUAUUAAUAUCUGUAUUGACAAGUACACUGAGGCAGGUUUUUUUUAAUCAAAGUGAAACACAAGGAAGGCAGUAGAUUAUCCAGCUAUAAAUAUUUCAACAGGGUUUAUUUUCUUCAAAUUGAUGGAACUCUUCAUAUAUUUAGCCUUUAUUUCAAAAUGAAAAAGCUACUUCUCAUCAACUCAUCAACUCCUUUAGCUUGACAUGCAGCCUGUAGGUGAACAGACCAAGAGUGGAGAUGAGAGAUGUGACCAGAGAAGACUCAGUCCUGUGGGAAUCUUGUGGUUCAAAUCCCCCAGCACACCAUCUAACAGACAAAGGUCUUCGAUGAGAUGAGCUGUCAGAUACUUUGACAGUCUCACAUUAGCCCCUACACAUCUGAAAGACAGGGGAUGCACAGACCUUGGAAACUCAGCAAUGUGAAAGAUAAGACGAGUUGGUUCUGACUGCACACUGCUACUGAACUACAACUAAUUGAUAAGUUGUAAAAUAAGGAAGUUCUGGAGAUAAACUUCUUGUCAGAAUAUGUCACUGACUUGGAAAACAUAAAUGGUGAAAAUCUAUUUUUGCUCAGUGAGGUUACCGCAGAAAAAAGCAAGAGGAGAGUCAUUUUCCUGUUUUCUUGUAGCAGAGUUGGUUAUAGGGAAGUGAUAAGAGCGAGCGAUUGCUCCAGGCAACUCCGAGAUGUGAAUAUCUUUUAUUACUCUGUAACGCAAUAAUGAGCUUUAGGAAAGAGUGUGAAGGAAAACAUGCUUUAAAACCAAGCAGUGAAACAUAUUCCGAGACAAACUCCUCACUGAUGAUGAUGACAGUUUCAACCUUACUGCUGCUCCUUUGCAUUACUUUUUAUUAUCUAUUAAAGGGAUAUUCCAGCGUAAAGUUAAUUCAGGGUCAAACACACGGUAACACUGAGUUAGACACCCCCUCGAGAGAUGAAUGUUGCCAACAGCUUGCUUCUCUAGCUAUACCAACUUUCGUAACGACCGUAGAUAGCAAUACACAGCGGUCUGAGGAGCCAUAAACAAACCUCUACCAAAACGCCACUCUAUAGCUACAAAUAAUGCUCAGAACAGCACCUAACUUCAUCAACAGUACAUAUAUGGUCUCAGCCAUAGCACUAGCCACCAAACAUCUUUUUAACUUUGCAGCCUUCAACACAUACAGUCAUUUUUUCCUCCAAUGUAUUGUUUUGUCAUAAUGUAAAUGCAUCUACCUAUCAGUCUCUUUUUUAACUGGCUGAGUCAUUUGUCCUUUUUCCACUCAUUUUAAAUGUGUUGUGCUGCAGGCAGUCGGAGGACCUCACACUGCUGCACCCCUGGCGUUGGCUUGAUUUGACAGAUCCAUCAAAGGAGGAGCGUGUUUGGUGAGAAGAAGAGGCUGCAAGGCAAGUAAGCUCAGACCUGACAAGCCCCCCAUGUCAUCUCUUUUUAAGACGGCUUUUUGUCACCUUUCAUAAUCUUGCUAGUUUGCUGCAGUUGUUCCAAAAUAUAAAGAAAGGGUUUGAUGCCAAAUGUGGUUCUUUUUAUUUCUUUUGUAAGAAAGCCUGGGGGGCGUAAAUCUUCACUUUAGUGAAAGACAUGUCAGUACACUAUGACCGCCUCCAAGGAACAGAUAAAUGGGAUAUCAUUUUUCCUCUGUCUCCAGGCAUAUUGAGAAAUAUGAAACAGCUUGAUCUGUUUCUUUAAAGACAGCUACAUACAGAAAAAGUACCUCUAUGUGCUUCUUUUUUCUGUGUUCACUCAUGUUGUUUUCUCAUAGAUAAUAUCAAAAUAAUGGAAAGUUACACUUGAAAAUACCAGUGGUUCAUCAGGCAAUGCAAUGAAUCAUUUAGCCCUCAGCAUCCACUUUUCAUUUGUUUUAAAGUGAGUUUUGCUGCCUAUGUUACUAAAGUCGUUCAGGCAGCCACAACCAACCAAAUAAUAAUAAUAAAAUAGUGUCACACAUUUGAGUCAAGAAGUCCUGACUCAGGAUGGGAUUGUUGCUGAGAACAUGGUGUCAUCUGCAAAGAUGUGUAAAAAGCAGGGGAGGGAAGUGUUCACUUCAAGAUUUCUUCAGUGAGAUUUUUUCUCAAGUAGAAGUAAAUCGACCUGUUUGUGAAUCGACUUAUGUAAAAAAAAAAGGUACUUUAUUCUAAAAUGAUUAAAGUUUUGUUCAAGUUUAUAGCUGUUGGGGAGGGGAAGAGAGGCAAGAUGUUAAAGAGUAACCUAAAAAAAUUAGAAUAAGUGACAUAGAAAUAGAAUAGCUCAACAAUUCAGGGUACAACUGAUACUAUGAUACACUAAUUAUAAUACUUGCCAAAGAAAAUGAUUGAGUAUUUUAGAAUCAGUAAUUUUACUUUCGCUCAGUCAUAUUGUGAUGCUUUUGGUGGAGUGAGUCCCCCAAAACAUUUGACCUUCAUGCUGCUAUCUGGUCUUAUGGUUCCUGUGGUAUAACAUUGUAUGUUGAGUCGUGUCCUGCCAUUUAAAUUGAAAUCACUGGCACGAAGACAUGCAUUAAUUGUUGAGCAUGUUUUUUGAUAAAUACAUUCCUAGAGAACAGAUAACUUUAUAAUAUACAGAAAAGAACUUUGGUUGAACAUGUACGUAGGUCUAAAGUUUGGUUUUAUGCAUACCUUUGACUUAUUUUAAGUGACAUUAGUAAAUGUGAUGAGUUACUCUCCACCCUGGUAAUAAAUGAGGUUGAGGUGGCAAAAGUAUCUUGUGGACAGAGAUGAGAUUGGGGAACUGUACAUACAUUUGUCCCCUGUUUUCUGUAAGUGAGUUUCACUUUAGAGGGCUGAUUCUCUGUGAUGAACUCCACUCUGCACAGUUCAGACUUUUCCUGGAACAUACAUUUAUUCCUUUAAAAAGGCUGUUGUAAAUUUUUUUUCUCUCACAAACAAUCUAAGAGUCAUUUCAGUCCUUUCUCAAAUCAUCAUCUUGUGUGAUUCACAAUUCCCUGGCUGAUCUUUUCCCAGUGAAAAGAGGUUAAGCUGCUUAUAGGCCUCUUUUUUUACAUCAACACUUUUAUUAUGUAGUUUGGAAAGGAUGAGAAACCGACCUCAAGUAACCUCAAGAAUAAUUAAAAUUGCAAAUCUCAGUUUCCUUGAUGUUACUUCCAAGACGUCAAGCAGGGUUUUUCCUCAUUAACAUAUUACUGUAAAUUGUUUUUUAAUGGCAAAUUGUAAUUUUGGAAAGAAAUACCCUUGUGCGGAUUAAAUCCAAAGACUUUAGGGGGAUUUUUCACAUGGUUUAUUAUAAAUGUCUUUAACUUGUUUUUGGCAAUGUUAAAGAAAAUCCCUUCCAGUAAAUCACAAGUUUUAUUUUCUCUCCAUAAAAACAGCUAUUGUGUGAUGUUCAAGUUGAGAUAUGGCAUGAGACAAACAGAGAGGCACCAAUCUAAUUUGGAAGAUUGGCACCAGUACAAACACUGACAUAGUUGAGAAAGAAGUCUACAAGUGAUUUUGUUUUUUGAUGGCUGUGGGAGAACAACUCACAAAGAAAUCAACUUAUUCUUUUUAAAGCUGUGAGUGAUACUUGGGGGGUAUUAAUGAUUGAAAAUUCGGAUUCAGUCUCACAAGCAAUCUCAAAGAAAUGUCAGCUGGGAGAUGGAAACUAGAAUUUAGACAGAAUGGAUGUAGUGUUUGAAAGUAAUGAAGUGCAAAAGCCUCUGUAGACAGGGCCUAUAUUUCCCACCACUAGUACUGUCUCUCUCAGGUUGAGCUCAGUUUGGACUCAGCAUUUGCAGAUUAUCUCAUAAAGAUUUCUAUCCCCCCUCCUCUGUUUUGUUUGUUGGGCCUCAAAAUCCCUGUCCUUGCAUGAUGCAACAAAAAGUCCCAACAGCCUAAAGGUCCUUUCACACGGCACUGUUUUUUUCAUGCGUUUAUUUCGGACGUCAGUAUUUUCUUUCGACCCCGUAUCCUGUCAAUACAAGCGUUCACAUUAGUGACAUUUUCCCAUCCUGCGAUACUGCGGCAUUUAUUUUUUCAUUUCACGGUUGAUUUUUCUAAAAUUUUGCAUACUGUGUGUCGACUUCUGACCAAUCAGAUUGUGUGUUGUUGCUACAUCAGAUUCACCAAAAUGGCCGAGGCACUGAUACUGCAAGUUGCUCUGCAAGUCACCAAACAUUAUUAGACUUUCUCGUGUGAUUACAAAGCAAUGUGUGGAGAUACAGAAGGUCUGCUGCAGAGGACCCCUAACAGUAUAACUCAGCUGAGUUGAAAUGUGGGUAAUGACUCUGAUUCUCCUGCAUUGGUGAUGCUCUUUUUUGUAAAUAGAACUUAUGAUGGACAGCUUUAACAGUGCUAACAGGGUGCAGCUUUAUUAGACUUUAGACUUUGGUGGAUUACACUCUUUCUCACAUAUUUGUAUGACGAAAAGUGCUGACAAAGGUUAAUGUUGUUUUCCCCACACUGUCAAUCAAUCAAUCAAUCAAUCAACUUUAUUUCUAUAGCACAUUUUAAAAUAACCACAAGGGUAGUCAAAGUGCUGUACAAUGAUAUAUAAAACAAAUAACACAAAGAGCAAGAUAAAUUGAGCAGAAAUACAUUAAUGCAAGGGGAUAAAUAAGUAAAUAAACAAGCAGGCUCACGGCAGGUGCUAAAAUGAUAAAAAACAAAGUAACACACUGUCACCCAAAUUUCAAUUUUGGUUCUAGGAGCAGAACCCUGUUACACACUGUGGCAAGAUGUGUGAUCUCUUUUCAUUGGUCGCUUAGAACGCUUGCAAAGCUUCAUUUAACAUAUGUAGAAAUGGGCCUGAUCGUCACAGCCCUUUAGAGGGAACAUUCACUUGUUGCUUCCCGUCUGACCCCUAAAUGUCCCUCCAGCUGGAGGUAUUUUAAAAUGCUGAAUAUGUCUUGGAGUCUAUCGGUCAGUUCCUUCUGAUAAAAAAUUAAUUAAAUCCCCUUUCUGUCCUAUUUUGCACCGAACUGAUUUAUACCUCUGCAGCCUGAAAGCAUGAAAGCUUUUGAAACCUCACUUUUAAAUUUAGCAUUUGUACUAACUUUUCCAUGAAGAAUAGAUUAUAAUGAAGUUUUGUAAGUUUUAUUCUGUCACUGUCUACUAUUCGCCUGAACCAUAUCAUUCAGCUGAAAAUUAAUGGAAUCCCACUCUUGUUAUAUAACAUAAAUUUGUAAUUGAUGCUAGGUCUGUUUGAAGUGCUGUUCUCCCCUCCUCAAAAAAAAUCUAAUUAUUCAAGUGUGAAAUGUCAGACCGGCCCUGAUGACUACUAUUAUUAUUUCAGUCAGUUCAAUCAGUGGGUGUGAUCCCAUCCAUCCACUCAAGGAUACUGGAGGUGCAAAAUAUUGGUGUUGCAAGGUCCUUAGUAAUGUGAGCUAAAUGAGCUCUGACUGGCUGGGUUGUCUUUUCCUCAGCAGUCAAAUUAUAAUCUUUGGACGGGCUGAUUAUCCGUCUCCUUUUCUGCAGUAAUGGUGUCUGUGACCGGGUCAUUUCCUGUCUUGAAAGGUUGAUUCUCUUCUUUCCAUCCUGCGAACGUGGCAAUCAAUUCAAAUGUCAUUGUCUUGCCUGUGGUGAAUUUGAAAUAUAUUCCCACUGUGAGGUCUGUUUUUAAUUUUUCUCCGGUGCCAUCUGUCUUCCCCUGAUCAUACAAGGCAAGGAACAUUGCAAACAGCUGAGAGUGUGCCCUCAGGUUGUAAUGUAAGAAUAGUAUUUUCUGGAUUUUUUUGAAAGAGGUGUUCACUGGAGUUGCAGGUGAACUCUUUUUGCCUUUGGACUUGCUUGAGGACAAAAAAAAAAAAGGAUUUUUACACCUACACAAAUGUAAAGCAGACUGAUGAAAUAUGCAGUGUGCUCUUUAUGUAGUACUUAUUGUCUAGUUUAGAGCUGCAGCUAUCAAAUACUUUAGCAAUCGAGUAUUCUACCGAAUAUUACAUCAAUUACUCGAGUAAUCAGACGCAAAUGGCAGACUCUCAUACAGUAAGAUUUUCCAUGAAGUAGUCAUCAUAAAUGCUCUUCCUUGAGCUGCGAAACUCCGCUGCACUCGGUGAUAGACUUGUCAGGGCUGAAGCAAGCAGUCGGCAACAUUCAUCUCUCGGAGGGCUGUCUAACUCGGUGUUACGGUGUGUUUGACCAUACUUUAAAUUAAUGCCGGAAUAUCCCUUUAAGGCACUGAUGGAGGAGUGUUACCUUUUGCUAAAUAUGAACCUCCUCCUGACGUUUUAAAAGUUGUGUGCAGCUGGUCGGUGUCGCCCUGCUGUAGCUCGGUUUUGAAUUGUUGCAAAUGCCAUGUCAUUUGUAAGCCUUGUUCAAAUACUGAUCACAUUAUCUGAUAAUAUGGAGUGAAAGGUUAUGAGACACGACAUUUAGAAGUCUCUGAAAAAAAAAAAGUGCUGCUGAUGAGAGGGCAUGUAGGGGGCAAGGCUAGACAUGCAGUUGUGUGUAGAAUGAAAGGAAAGCUGCAGGUUUGAUGAUGAUGUGUGUGUCCGUGUGUGUGUUUGUGUGUGCAUGUGUGGGUAGGCAGGGGUGAGAGAUGACGGAAUUGAAGAGAGCAAAUUAGAGGCCUCAGUGAACAUUGGUGAAUACGCUGGGGAGUAAAUGUAAGAACUGUCCUGGUAAUAAUAGUAAUAAUAGAUGAAAUGCAGUACAAAUAAUACUGGGAUGAUGCAUUUCCUUUGAAUCAGCGCUAUUCACGCAAUAGGUGUGAACAAAAUUAGAAAACAAUUUAGCAAUUUGCCAUUUUUUAAACCAGCAGUUGUAGUAAUAAUACUGUACAACACACCACACACACACAGCUCCUCUUUGUUUCAGACCUACUUUAACAAUGAUUCAGUCUGCCUUCUGUUUUUGCCCUCGUACUGUGACUCACUGCUUCACUUCAGCCUGCAUUUUUCAAAAAUGUAGGGCGUGUGAAUAAUCAAACAAAUGUUUGUGCCUCUCGGCGUGUGUGCAUGUCCACUUGUGGACUGAGCUGCACUCAUCUUUGAGUUGUCAGAGACUCAACCGUAAGUUCUACUCUGAUUCAUUAUCACACUGCGAGAGCUGUUCAAUCAACACGAGUUAAACCUUUGCAUAAAGCUGACUGGAAACAGGUGGAUGAGACUUCGGUGAGGCAUUAAUCAUCGUCUUAUGAGUUGAUGACUUAAUGGCAACGGUUUUCCUGUACAACUGCUGAACAAGAGAAACAUGGCAUGUUGAUUAAAGGUGGGGGAGGAAGGAUUCUGGUAAAAAAAAAAAACAUCUUGUUUUGUGGUGUAUUUUUAAAAAAAAGCUUUUAAUAACAGUCAAUAGCGAUUAGUUAUUGAUGACAUUUGGGAAUAUUACGAUAUCACUGUGUUCUCUUAUGUCUGUGUAGUCAACAUUUUCCUGCCUACCCCACUGUCUGUUAAGACUUUGCUCCAAAAAUAGAAAAACUAUCUGUUUGGAUUCAUUUUUAUUGUGUUUAAACAAGAGUUUCCACUGUUUGUGCACAGCAAUCAAAGUUAUAGCUGGUACCCGCAUUUUAGUUCUUAGUUAUCUACUGCAAAUCAUGUAGCAUUAUCAAAACAAUCCUAACAUUGUCACUUUUUGUUGUCUGGGUCUGCAAAAGUAUAAAAGCUCAUAGAAAAUAGCAAGAAGCCAUAUGACUCCCUUUCUCCCCGAGCUUAUUCAAUAGCUCCACAUGGGAAAGCUUUAAAAAAAAAAAAAAAAGAAAAGCUCUCCUUUUGAAAGAAAGCUUUUCCCAUUGAAACCCUCCUCUGUUUUUUCCGCUCUGGGGGUAUAAUUCACUUUGAUUCAGUUUCCAACAUAGAACAUACACAGUCGCCACACUUGUGUAGAAAUAGAAAAAAAGAACUGAAGCUCAUUGUGCUUCCUGUCUGAUUAAAGAGACACACCAUGGAGGGUGCAGAGAGGGGGAGAGCGGCAAAAGAGGAGGAUUAAUACUUUGAUGAAGAAAAACAACAGUAACAGUAAAUGUGCUGGAGGCAUGCUGCAGGGUGGGCUGGUCAGGCUCAGUGCUGCGUUGUGUGUGGCUUUUUGUAGUUAGUUUUGUGGUAAUGUAUCUCAUGGUGUUUGUUUUGAACCAGAAAUACACAACUACAAAGGUAUCAUUUACAUGCAAAAAUGGACUGAGCACUAUUCUUCAUAUAGGGAGUGUUAAUAAACACUAUCCUGUAGGUGGGUCAAUAUUGAAUUAAUGAUUUUUCUCCUCAGAAUAAUCCAAACCAAUCAAAUCCAGUUUUAUUUAUAUAGCACAUUUAAAAACAACAAAGAGCUGACCAAAGUGCCGUACAGUAAAAUUAAAACAAAAUAAAAAGAGCCAGACAAUUAACAUGAACAAUAAAACAAGACACAGGAACACAUUAAAAACAGGGGGGGGCAUAGAUGGUUCAGUAAAAACAUGGUUAAAAGGCCAAGUUCUCAGGGGUUAAAAGCCAGGGAGUAAAAGUGCGUUUUCAAAUUUGAUUUAAGAACAGGCAGUGAGGGGGACAGUCGGACAUGAAGGGAAAGAGCAUUCCAGAGCUUAGGCGUGGCAACGGAAAAAGCCCGGUCACCCCUGAACUUUAAUCUCGACUUAGUGACAGUCAGAAGGCACUGGUCAGAGGAUCUGAGAGUCCGAGAUGAAAUAUAGGGUUUUAAAAGGUCAGAGAGAUAAAAAGGAGCAAGCCCGUUUAAAGAUUUAUAAGUUAAUAAUAAAAUUUUAAAAUCAACCCUAAAACGCACAGGAAGCCAGUGAAGAGAGGCUAAAAUCGGGGAAAUGUGGUCAUAUUUUUGGCGACCAGAUAAAACACAAGCUGCAGCAUUUUGAACAAGCUGUAAACGAUUGAGACAGGUUUGGCUGGCACCAAAAUAAAGUGCUUUGCAAUAAUCAAGGCGAGUUGUGAUAAAAGCAUGCAUAAUCUUCUCAAAAUCAUUAAAAGAUAAAAAAGACUUGACUUUGUUUAAAGACGAAGAUGAUAAAAACUGGCUCAAACAUUAUUUUUUUAAUGAUGGAACAAAACAGCGUUGAUGCCGUGGAGCUGCUGUGACAGGAAUGGAUGCACAGAUGACCUGCUGUGAAUGUACAAAUACAUGUAAUGCAUUUACAGUAUGUGAAUACACAUUUAUCAUACUGUGACAGUGACUGCUUGUUUUCUGUGCAUAACUCCUACUGUCAUGUGUGUAAAAACCACAUUGACUUUGAUGAGACAGCUCUUCCAACAAACUGUAAAAGGCUUCACCCUCUAUUAACCAACAGCUGAGCUUUCUACUCCCGUUAUCAUUACAGCAUGCGUGUAACACUGGCGUGACAUGCUGUUAUAAUGAUAAUAUUAAUGAUACAAUGCUGGCCCAGAUUGUCAAGGUCCCCUUGUACUUCUGAGAAAUGGUUGCCAUCACAACCAAAGAGGUGUAAGCACAUUCCUUUAUAAUAGAAUUCAAACAAGAGAAAUGGCUGAUGGGAUAUUUUGUCAAGACUGUUUGUGACUUCAGGGACUCUUGGGCUUUGUGAGGACACUUGAUGUUAUCACCCUCUGCCAUGCGCAUCACUUAGGUUAAUUAGAGCCGGCUUUACACCACAUUCAAGGGCAGACGUCCAUGCACACUUAACACACACGUCUGCAGACUCAUACAUAGUCACACAGAACAAGACAUCCACUGAUUCAUGACCUUAUCUGCUGCCAUGUUAUCUUUGAAGUCACACACAGCUGUGGCUCGGGUCUUCGACAGAAGGAAACAGAUUACACGACAGGGUAAAGAUUUAUUAGUCGAGUUUAAUGGAAUAGAGAUGAGUGGGUGUAGGAUUUAAAUAAAUUAACCUUCAGUGGAUUCCCUGAGGCCUGAGGGAACGACAGAAGGCAAAGGAGAAGGAAUUUUCUCCUCGUCAUUGUAAUGAAUACUGAUUACCUGAUUUUGGCCCGAGUGCUCCCUGUUCUUCUUCCUAUAAGUAAAGUGCAGAUCUAUAGACAGAAAGAAACCUCAUGAUAGUGCGAGGAUAGGUAGAUAAAUAAAAUGACCUUGGGUAUUUCAGGGUGACUUCAAAAACCUGUGAAUGAAGCAGGAAACACAAAAGGAGUUAUGAAUACAGAGAGGUUUCUUAAAGUGUUUCUCUGUGUCUCUCUCUGUGUCCAGAGAGUAAGAAAAAAAUACGAGAAAGAAACGAAAAAUAUCAGACAGAAAAUGACCCAAGUGUGAAAUGUCAGUGAGGAUGUGGUAAAAAUGCUUUUUAUCCUGGAGGAACAAAAAGUUUAAACUAUUCUACUUUGAAAAGGACACAUAGAGAUAUCCAGGGAACAGAGCUUCAUUUUUAAAUGUCACAUAUGUGCGAAAUAUUAUAUCAUUUAACCAGUUUCAUGCACUAAAGCUAUGAUUUCAUUCUGAUAGUGGAAUACAUUUGUAUCAAUUUCAAUUAAUGAGCAAAUAAAAGAUUGAUGAUAAUCCUCUUGUAAUGUUCAUUUACAGCAACAUGCAUCAAUUUUCAUAUUUGACACGAUUACUGACGUCUGUUUCCUUUCAUUCUGUCCUUUUUCUAUUCAAUAUCUUCACAGCACAGAAUAGAAGGAGCUCUCUCUAAUAUUGUCAAUGAAAACAGCGGCCUGUUUUCAUCCUUUUCUACUUCUCUCUCUCUCUCCACUUUUCACUUUUACUGAAGCUGAACAAAUGAGGCAGUCUCACACCACCAAUCUCAUUCACACAGCCUCUGCUAUCUCAACAAAUGGCCUGAUACCAUAAAAUCUGUGACUGCUCUCUUUGUACAAGAGUGUUAACAAACAUUUCUCACUAAGCUCAGUUUAUAGAAAAGCAGGCCGAGUGGUUUUUUCGCGGUCCUCUUUAAGCCCGUUCUCACAGACGGUGUGCUUUUGAUAAGUCCUCACUGCCGGCGUUGAAGCUGUGUGUCUGUUUUCAGUGUUUCAGGAGAAAGUGCAUGUGGCUCAAUGUGAUACAGUCACAACAAAGAGAGUGUGUAGGUGUGUGUCUUUGUGUUUGGGUAUGCCUGUGUGCACUUGUAUAGCUCGGCGCUUUGUUCCAUAGUCAAGUGUGUGUGUCUUUGUGUGUCAGCACGACUGUGUGUGUAAUGCAGCCUCACUGUGUUCAUACAACAUAGAGCUGACAGCUGGGACAGCAAAGAGCUUCAAAUUUUCUGCUCUGAUAUCUCUGCAGAAACAGUCAAACCCACCGACAACAGCUGGUACAAUCACCCGCAGACACCUGUCACUACGGGUUACAGUGUCACCAUGGAUACCAUGCACUACAGUCAAUUCUCAGGACCACAAAGCACCAUGCAUACUUUUCCAUAUGGUUCAUCACUCAGCAGAUUGGAGUUAUUGUUGGUUAAAGCUUGUCAAAUACUGACGUAUGUGUCAAACGCAGACAAAAAUCUGUUUGUGUUACAGUCAAAAGUUUUUAUCUCGUCCUUUGUGUGGGAGGCAGACAAACUGACAAGGCAUGACUGACAUAUUUCACCAUCUUCUGACCUAAAUAUGGCAAAUGCUACUUUUAGGUACAUUCAUAUUUAUGUAAUGUUUCAGUCUAAUGUUUUCUCUGUCUUGUACAUCUAUGAUAUGUUUGCAUCUAACUUGAGGCAGAUGUUGUGUGGGCAGACUGCAAAACUAUUGAUAAACCUUCACUCCUUGAGUUUUUUUUUUGCAGAACAAAAAUUGUUUAUUAAAAAGAACGAAAUAAAAAGCAACAAAAAACUCUCUUCCAAAGAACACAAGAAACAACCCCCCCCAAACCAAAGACAAAAGGCUGACAUGCACACACAUCGAUGUAUAGACAUACAGUGAAACAACAAGGACAGAGGGGAAGAAGACAGGGACUAUAUACACACUGGGAAACGAGCGACAGGUGAGGCAAACGAGACACAGGUGAAAGUCAUAGGUGAUUAACGAGAGGGAAAACUAGGGAAGUAAAACCAGACUUGAAACACAAGGAAUCAACUUCUACAAAAUAAAACAGGAAACACUGAGAACUGAUCUAAAGAAUAAAACACAGAGAACAGGAGGGAAACAGGGUCAAACACAAACUGAAGACUCACAAGACAGGACAACAGGAGAACAGGAACAAUGAGGAACAGAAACACUCGGGAAAAUCACAAAGAAAAUGCACUCAAAUAACAAAACCAGGGAAGAAAACUAAAUUAACAGAACAUAUCAUGCCAAAAAGUGGACUGGAGAUAUGUGUAAACAUUGAAAAACAUUUACUUAUCCCAGUUAUCAGUGUACAUGACAACGGGUUUCUGUUCGAUGUCAUCGCAGGUAUGCGUGCGCAACCAGGGGGCAGAAAACGGGGCAUUUCUUAUUUGUUUACUAGCGGAGUAAUCAGAGAAAGAAAUUGACAAGGAGCUGUUGUGCUUCAAACUGCACAAAUCGGCAAAACAAACAAUCGGCAAACAUUAUGACCCUGCUCCUGAUAUUAGAAACACCUAAAACAACGUCACAACCUGGUAAAUUGAGUGAAAUUCAUGGAUAUUUCAGCAAGUGUUUUUCUGAUUUUGAUGCAAUGAAAGACAAAGUGAUUUUUCAAUGAAAUGAUAUUUUAUUGCAAUUGUGUCACGGAGAACUUGCAAACAAUACGGCAUUGUCAUUGAUAUCAGUUCACUCUAAAGCAGGCUUUUGCCCCAUGAUUGCGCGCACACCUAGUAUAGUUUGUACACAAGAAACCUUUCUACAGGGGACACAUAUCCAGUGUGUGGUUCAAGAUAGUUAAAAUGUUGUUUCCUGUUGAAUCUGCAUUAAAAAGUUCCUCUUUUUAAAGUCUUUGCUUUUUAAAAUACCUCUACAGUUCGGAAACUUUAGCUUAAUAUCAUUGCAAGGAUGCCUUUUAUGUGUACUGUGUUUAUAUAUGACAGUAUCACUCAGCAUCCUCAGAUUUGUAGUUACGCACCUAUGACCGUUCUCGGUGUUGUCCAUAAAAAAAGCAAUGAUUUGGUCCAGCAGUUGGCAGGAUUUGCCAUCCUCAGACUCCUCAGAGGUCUUAUGACUGAGUUUCAUGGGUGAACUUCCUGAUAUGGGAAUAUAGCUGCUGCUGACAUGACGCUAAUCUUGGAGCCAUAUAUUACACGAUGCAACUAGAAAUGUGUCACUUGAAUAUGAUCAAUAGCAGCCAGCAUGUAGAUGGGUUAUCAGCCAGAAGAUGAAUGUGAGUGGCUCCACGGUACCCAGAAUUCUUAGCUGUGUCAGAGUGUAACUUAUAGCCUGCAUGAUUUUUUUUUUUUCAAAAGCCUGUCUGUCAUUGCUGCUGUCACCCUUUGCUGCGUGUCUUUGUUCUGUGGUUGAGAAGCAGUUGAUUUACUCAAUAACAGAAAGGUCACAGAUCACUUAUUUCAUUUUUGCCCAUAAAGGUUGUGUCCGUUGUGUAGACCUGACACAAACACACAAGCCCCACAUUGGUACGAAAAUCAAACAGAAAACCCACUAUCUUUCGAUCAAGCAUUUUCUGGGUGUCUGUGACAGUGGCAGCAUCUUGACUCAUGCGCAUGUUUACAGUCUACGGUUAUCUAACAAAGAUACUUACGAUGGAGUAUCAGGGCCACAUUAAGAAAAAGAAAAUUAAGGUUUCGAGAUUAAAGUUGUUAAUUUAUGAGAAUUAAGUCAUUACUAAAGAGAAUAAAGUCAUCAUGAAAUCAUUAUGUCAUUAUCAUAUGAUAAGUAACUACUUUAAUACGACUUUAUUCUUGUUAGUAAUGACUUAAAGGGAAGAAAAAUUUAAGACUGAGAUUAAAGUCAUUAAUUUAGGAUUAUUAAAGGGAUAUUCUGGCGUGAAACUAAUUUAGGGUCAAACACACCAUAACACCGAGUUAGACACCCCCUCAAGAGAUGAAUGUUGCCCACCGCUUGCUUCUCUCGUUUUACCAACUCUAGUGUCAUGCAGGUUAGCAAUACACAGCGGUCUGAGGAACCAUAAACAAACCUCAACCGAAACGCCACUCUAUAGCCACAAAUAAUGCUCAGAACAGCACCUAACUUCAUCAACAGUACAGUGUCCCAGCCAUAGUACUAGCCACCUUUGCCUAAUUUCUUUAGCAGAGAGAUUAAACACAACUCACCUACUCUCUUCCAGCAGCCACUUGUUUGUAGCGAGACCUCAGGCCAGUCCAUCACAGUCUGGAGUGGGGUGAAGCAGCUUAAGGAGGAACAUUUAUGAUAAUUUCUUUAUCAUUUCCUUGAAGUAAUAAUCACCAUAUUCAUCAUUUUGCACUGCAGACGCGGUAGUUCUUCUGCCUUAGCGUCUCCGUCUGAUUGCAUUUCCAAAAAGAAAUUAUCAUAAAUGUUCUUCCUUGAGCUGCGUCACCCCGCUACAGUCCGUAAUGGACUGGCUGUAUCUAGACGUCACAGCAUGCCGUUCCUCCAGUCAUGUGACAGACAUUGCAUGCCCUGUGAUGUGACUACUGCACAGGCAAACAUUGAAUAUUGUUUCAACACUGCAAAUGUACAUUUUCUAAUAGAUAACCUACCCAACUGAUCAUUAGUUAGGUACAUAUUUUAACCGCAAUGUGUUGAUUUUGUAUGGAAAAACUAGUAGAUGUUUAUUUUCAUGUAGAUUUGACUUUGAAUUUCAUAGUUUCAAAGCCACUUUGGGUUUCAAUUCUUGGUUUUUCAAGGCCUUAAUGAAAUAAAAAAAAGAAAUGAAAAUGGUUUUAUUUCCACCAACAACUUUUGAAGAUAUUUUUUCUUUUUUUAGCCCAGCGCAUUUUUCAUGAUGUUCAACAAAGGAGGCAAGGACUUGAUGUGAGGAUUUUUCACAGGGCCAAAUGCCUAUUAACUGAAAUACAUGGUUUGACCUCACAAGCACAAAUGAUUCCUUGAGCAUAAAAGCGUCUGGUGAGAGUUCAGUUGAUUUAGCAGUUGAGAAAAUGUGCCCCCUGUUGUGUAUUAUUCAACAUUUCCAUUACAGACACACUGUUAAAGAAAGGUUCAAGAGCUUUGAAGGAAAAUUGUGUUGACAGUUUUCCCUCCCUUCACUGCUCCUGUGUGGCCAAACAUGUAAUUAUCUCUGGACGUACAUUUCUCCCAGACAGUGUGUAGCUAUUUCAUUGGGAUUUAAUGGAUUCAUUGUGUAUAUUUAUGAGGACUGGGCAUGCAUAAACCAUGUUUCAUCUGGUACUUUCAAACAGCGGUGCAGAGGAGUCACGCAUGAAUUACAGUUCCUCUGCUGUUCUCUAUAUUUUUCAUUCUCUUGUGUAUCCAGUCCUCUUAGCCACGGGACAGUAAGCACAGAGGGUUUGUAGAAUGCUGUGUGAAAAAAAAAACAUCAACUUCACUCAAAGGUAUGUUGAUAUCUAAUGUCUCUGUAUGUUCGUCUUUAUGUUUUGUGUGGCUGCGACUCCCAGAUACACAAGUUCACCUGCUAAUUUUCUGCUGCUUGUAUGUUCCUGAUAAGAUGAUCCCUGUAUUGACACAGCGUAUUUACUCUAAGAGACAAGAUCUAAUGUAAAAUUCUACAGAGGAGUGUAAUGAUCUGACACUGGUUGCUUCAGAAACAACAUUUGGUUUCCAGAGUGUAAUAAAGCACCCCAUGCUUAAAGAAAAUGGGCCCUGAAAUGACUGCAGUGGGAUAUUUUCUCCCGUAUUAGUCGUCAAAGUCGUGAAAAAUUCAUGCUUUGGUUUUGAUGUCCUCACACUCCUCGAUAAUAUUAUCCAUGAUAACAGAAAGGACCAUUAUUUAACACAAAAAUGGGUAUUACAAGGCCUGAAAUAAUGAUUUUUGUAAUGAUUGAAUUCCCUGCUCAUUCCUUUUUCUUUACUUCAUGAAUUUUUUAGUUAUUCCUCAAAGUGAUUUCCUGAAGCUUAAAAGGGGCUUUUCAAAUUGACAUCAUUACCAACUGUCUACUUAAAAUGUACGUGUGAUCUGUUGUAAUAGCAAUAAACACAGAAGUAGGAGAUAUUCAGAUUUAUGAAGCUUUAAGAAGCUACAGAUCUUUUUUUUUUUUUAACUCAAAGUUUCUUUAUCUUUUCAUUUUCCUCUCUCUGUAUCUGUAAUAUGCUGCUGUAAAUUUGGAAUUUCCUCCCGUGGGACUAUUAAAGGAACAUCUUAUCUUAUCUUGUACUUUUAAAUGUUGUGCAUUUUGAUUCUGAAUUUAACCGUAAAUGACACAUCCGGGGGGUGGUACCUGUCCUGCACAGUGGUAACAUGAUUGACUUUGAUUGGGUGACCAUGACAGUAUCUCAUGAUAGUGUUGUGUCGUUCGCGAAUGAUUCAGACAAUUUUUCCGUACUUUCUGGUUGGUUUCUAUUGUCCGAUAUUGUAGCGCGAUAACUUUGGUUGGGCUCGUGAAUGACACGGGGGAGCAGCGUCCGUCUCACAACCAAUCAGACUACACAGACAGAACAAAACACAGCGAUAUUGUUAUAUUACCAAAUGUCAUCAAUAACUAAUAGCUAUUGACUGCAGAAGACGUCGGAUAUAAACGAUUUCUGCCAACUUUGCAGAGUCAACUGCAGAGUUAACGGCGUUCUGAAUGAACGUGGCUUUGAAAAAGUCCCGCAGCAUGUGUUAGACGUCACCACUACACAUGGACCAAUCAGGGGCUGCCUUUCCCUGUUGUCCGGGUAACAGUGGAAACACGGUCUCUGAUUGGCCCAGUUAUUUUCUGAUCGGGAAUACACGCUCUCUAUGGGCCGAAGUCCAGACUGUGGUGGGAAGGAACAUCAAGUGAUUCACGCAACAGGAUGGCCCAGCCAGGCUAGCAAAAUCCAUGGCUGUGUCCGAAAUGAAUCACUCAACCCCUAACCCCUAACCCCCAUAUGGGAUUUUACUAUAUAGCUGACGAUGUAGUGAACUCAAUCACCGGAGGUUUCGGACACUACAUGGCAAGACGCAAUGCAUGACGGGAUGCCCGCCACCGUUGAGUGACCAUUGGAUGGUUACUACAUUUUGCAAUGCUUCAUGGGAAAUUUUGAGUCACCUAUAUUGAGCGCUGGAAUUGAUCACUGAGGUUUCAGGCACUAACCUAUAUAGGGCUUAGGGAUCCAUUUCGGACACAGCCCAUGUCAUCCAUGCCCAUAGGCUUCGUUGGGUGACCCAUCAACACAAGUAAUGGUAAUGAAACCUGUACGCCGCCCGCCUCUCUUACAUGCAGUUGUUAUUAUUCGUAUGGCUGUGUCUAUGACAGCCAGAGAACCCCAUAGGCUAUUUGUUUCUGAUAAUUUGUUCAUUGUGUGUUGCUGUUGUAUAGUCGGACAGUGAUUCCUCUUCCUGGUAAAGGGAGGUAUUAUAUUCAGAACUCAUUAUCCUGUGUCACUCAUGGAUCUGUUCCACCCAUUAGCCAGCUCAGAUCCAUUACUAUUAUACUGUCUUUCUCAAUGAUUUGUGCUUCAAGUGGUUUCCUUUACUCUGUAUCCCUCUCUGUGUUAAGAGCACUGUACCUCCCUCCUGUUUUUGCUUGUCUGCCCUUGUUUACUUGAAGAUAAAGCUAAUAGUGAUUGCUAUUUUUGUGAAGAACGGAAAACUAAUAGAGACUCAUAUGAUGGACCUAAGGUUUUGUUUUUCAACAUGAUACCUAAUUCGACUGAUAAUUUUCAGUCUUUCUUGUAUGGGUUUUAUUCCUGGAUUUGUUUACCGGUUGAACCAAAAUAAAACCCAUCUUAAGGAGCCUUGUGGUAAUUUUGUGAGUGUGUCUGCCCACUUCCUGUCAUAGAGGAGCUGUUAUGCUGUGCGGGCAAUUGAAGUUGAGGACUUUGUUUGUCUGGUAAGGAUAGGGGGAAGUGAUACAGAGAAAAUAUAUCCAUGGCAACAUGCCUGAAUACAGCUAGUGGGGUAAAAAAAAAACAGAAACUUUUCUAAGGUUGUGUAGAGAGACAAGAGGUUACUUUUAUUUGCAGAUAUAUCACUGGAGAUCAUGUUGCAGCAUGUUUCGGCCUAGAAUUUCUAUCAGCACCCCUGUGUUGAAGCAAACUCUGUUCCUUUCUCUCUCUCUCUCCUGCACAGACUCUGAUCUCUUUGCCCUUGUGUUUCCUCUAUCUCUGCUUUUGGAUAUCUUGGAUCAAAUGUCAACAACUUGUUAGCUGUUAGCAGGAACUUCAUCAACAGAAAAUGAACUGAGACGUGUGAGGUGGCUCCAAAGACAGACAGGAGAGAGAAAACUGUCAGAUGGAUGCUAAUGGGCUGCGAGCAGACUGGUGCAGUCUGUGUGAAGGUGUGAGAAGGUGUGUUUGAUGUGUAGACAGUUGUGUUACACUGACAGACAGCAGAGAGAUGGAAGAGGAUUUUCUUUUUCUUUCUGGGAUCAAAAAAAAAACAUGUGCAGACUCAUACAGCGUGAAUGUUCGUGUUAGUAUUCAUAUGAUCUAUCAGGGGAUGUUUUUGAUAAAGAUUCUGUUUUCCCCCAAAAAGAGAGACACAGCAAUUUAAAGAAGUGUGUUUGCAUGGAGAAUUUAAAGUCAACAAUUUUUCGUUACACAUCAUAGAGCACAGCACCAGAGCUCUCAGGUAAAAAAAAAACAGAGGUGUAUGCAAAUUAAAACUCUUUUAAUGUGCUUUGAGGAGCCGAUUGACUCUAAUAUGUUUCUGUGCCAAACCUGAAGCCAGCUGUGGUAAUUUUAUGCUGUGAUCAUUUUGGCAUGAAAUUGUGUUAGUAUUUCUUCCUGCUGACACUGCCUCUUAUCUUAAAUGCAGAAUGUAUUUUUAACAGCGGCCCUCGACUGCCAAAAAAAAUCCUCUAGUUUGUGUUUUUAGACUUUUCACUUUCUAAGAAGGAGGAUUAGGGCCACAGGAAGAGAAAAAAUAAUUACAGAAAGGAGAUUUUAUUUUUAUUGUAAUAGCGAGAUUAAAGUUGAAAUUUCAAGAUUAAAGUUGAAAAUUUAAAAAGUCAAAAUUUUGACUUUAUUCAUGUUGACUUUAAUCUCAAAAUUAAAUUUUUUUUAUCUUGAAAUUUCAACAUUCUCUAUGACAUUUUGACAUUUUGUAAUCUUGAAUUUCAACUUUAAUCUGGAAAUUUUAAUUUUUAAUCUUGAAAUUUCAACUUUAUUGACAUAGUUUCGAUUUUAAUCUAAAUUUUUUUUUAAAUUUCAAAAUUAUUCACAACAUUUUGACAUUUUGUAAUCUCGAAUUUUUAAUCUUGAAAUUCCUAAUUGAAAUAAUUUCAAUUCGAAUAAAAAAAUCUUUAAUCUCAAAAUUUCAACAUUAUUUAUGACUGUUUUACAUUUUGGGAUUUCAAAUUUCAACUUUAAUCUUGAAAUUUCAAUUUUAAUCUCGAAAUUUCAACUUAAUUAACAGAGUUUUGAUUUUAAUCUCAAUUCUUUUAAAAUUAAAAUUUCAACAUUAUUCACAAAAUGUUCACAUUUUGUAAUCUCAAAUUUUGACUUUAAUCUUGCAAUUAGAAUUUUUAAUCUUGUAGUUUCAACUUUAUUGACAGAAUUUCGAUAUUUUUAAUCUAGAAAUGUCGACUUUAAUCUCAUUCCUGUAAUUUUUUUUUCUCUCUUCAUGUGGCCCUAAUCCUAUUUUUUAACUUUCAUAUGAAUUUUUCACCUAAAAUUAUAAAUUGGUCAAACCGCAUCAAUGGAAAAAUAACCAGCAACAAUCUUGAUGAAGGAUCUAAUCGGUGUCACACUCUGUUUAGGUGUUUGUUCCUGGAUGGGUUUGAUUUCUUUAGAGGGGUUUGAGCAAAAUCUCCUCAACUGUUGGAUGAGAAAUAGGACUUAAAAGAAUGAACAGAAAGGUUGACUGCAAGCGACAAAGAAAUCAAAUCACAAUAAAAGGAUAAUGUAAAGAGAUAAAGUGGGAGACAAUGUUUGAGUUAGAUACCUGAGUUUGUGUUUAUCCGUCUGUGAGCGAUCAAUAUAACAGAUACACCCUGAAGGAGAAUAAUAUCACUUAGAUCUGUUAUAUCCCAUUAACAUCAGAUAAACACAGACAUGUGCGGUUAGAAACAUAUCAAAGAGAGGUGUCUGUGCACAGACAUUGAGCACACAAACACUUGGAAAAAUCUCUGCGUGUAUGCAGACUUACAUUAUGUAAAUGGUGCAUGCAGCCAGACUUCCAUGCAUAUGUAUUUUUGUGUGAUUUAUUUUUUAAAUUCACUUCAGGCACUGCUCUUUUUAGCAUAUUUAUCUCAUACCAGAUAGAACAGUCUGUGACACAGGAGGACUAUUUUAAACCUACAAGCUGAAGAUUUAGGUUAAAAACCUGCAUGCUUUUUACCUUUUCUCUGUCUUCAGAUCUAUUAUUAUGUGUUUGUUGUUUUCCAUCAUGCAUCUAAGAGCCAUUGCAGUGUAACUGAAAAACGGAUCUGUCAUAAAAAAUUACAAUCAUAGAAUAAAACUCAAUAUGGAGCACAGACCACACAUAUUAAUAAUGAAACAGUGGGAGUAAUAGAUAUAAAAAGUAGUAAUAGAUCAAGAUGUUGUUUUAGUAGGAGGAGUUGCAGUCUGGAUGAUAAUAAUAGAAAGAAAAGGAGGCCAUUAAAAGGGGGGUGUUUUUUUAGUUUUUUAAAUCUUUAUCCUUCUCAUUCAAUAUAUUUUAACUUAGUUGAUCAAGAAAGCAAACAAACAAAGCGACUGAGUCAAGCUAUGAUGAAAAGCAAAAAAAAAUAGCAGGUUGCCAAAUGCGUGUGUAAUUUCAGCACCAAAGACAGAGAACGCCACUUAAGAGGCAUGGAUUGAGAAGUUGUACAACACCAGGAAAACUGCUCUGUUAGCUGUACCUUAAUGUAGCUUGUGUACUCCGAGAACUGAACUAUGUACAGUACAUUUUUGAAGAUUCUAAGAUGGCUGAAACUUCAUCCUGCACUCAUGCUAUUGACUGGAAUGGUUGUAUGUCAAAAUUGGAUACAGACUAUGAUGUAGCCCAAAGACUUCCUCUUCAUGAUAAGAUUAUUCAUUUUACUGUUAACCAAUUUCCAUUUAGUUCAUCAGUACCCAAUACAAACAACAGACAAUAAACAGUCCAACAAAUCUGGAAUUGUCAUUUGCCAGAGUUAAAACAAAAGGAAAAGGACCCAAAAUGCAGACAAAAAAAUGGUUUAUUUAAAAAUAACUAAAUGAAAAGGAACAAAAAUUUGCCAAAAAUAUUCAAAAUGCAAAAUCCAACUAAACACACUGGGGAAAAAACUCACAAGAAACAACUGGGGACACAAUCAUACACAAACACAUGGACAUACAAUGAACCAACAAGGACAGAGGGGAAGACAGGGACUGUAGUAUACACACUAGUAAACGUGCAACAGGUGAGGCAGACGAGACACAGGUGAAACUCGUUAACUGAUUAACAAAGGAGGGAAAACUAGGGAAGUAACACCAGACUAGAAACUCAAGGAAUCAACGACUAUAAAACAAAACAGGAAACAUUAAAAACUAAUCUAAAGAGUUAAACACUGAGAACAGGAAGGAAACAAACACAAACAGGAAACUCAGAGACUGGACUACAGGAGAACAGGAACAGGAGAACAGGAACAAUAAGGAACAAAAAUACACAGAAAAUAGACUCAAAUAACAAAACUAGUGAAAAACUAAAUCAGCAGGACACAUCAUAAUAUAAAUCUCAUCAGUAAAAACAUCAGCUUACAAGAGCACAGCCACACUAUCAUAUACACAGUUUACAUAGACAGCCUAUAGGUAAAAAUAAUGUAAGCCUGUAAUAGUACCCCCAAUCAAAUGUAGAAGUAAAGUAUUUUAAGAAAUAGUUAAAAUAUUACACAUCCAGCUGAACACUGUUAGCCAAUGUGUGCCACAGUACUGUGGCGCUGUCCAAGGUGCUGAUCCUGGCAUUUUUCAUUUACUUAUAUCUUGUGUGCCGUUUUCUGCAGUCUAUGUUGUAUAACUUCUGUUUUUGUUUUUUCUUUUAAAUGAAGCUAAACUUUGGGCAUUUAUCUUAUUUCUAUGAUUCACUUGUUUCACAAAUUUCCAGCAGUGCAGAAACAUGAGCAGGCAUUGAUACAAGCAAUGAUAAGUUUGGAGGCGUGAUAACCCAGAAGUUGAGACAAUUUGGUGCUGAGAUGUAAGUAAUUGUUGUAUUUCAUCCAAAAAAACUCUCUAGUUUAGAUUAGAAAUUAUCCUCCUCUCUAGUGUGUUGUAGCAUACAGGUCUUAUGAGUGCAUUACAGUUUCUCAUUGUGACUGUUCGUCGAGAGAGACAAACUUUAAUCCUGUCAUUCUGAGCGAGUCUGAAAGAAGUGGCCUUGCUCACUCUUGGCUGUUUUUGAUCAGCUCGCCGUGGCUUCGCUGGCAUGGACUCUUUGGAGGUCAGACGACUAAAACCAGAAAGAGAUUUCACUUCGAUCUAUCUCGCCUCUCGACUAUGAAAAAUGUACCGCUGAUCAAAAACUCACGCAAUCUGACCAGUUCUGAUUAAAUACAUGUACAUGCUGAGCAGCGUCUCAGCCUGUCUGUUUGUGUGAUGUUCGAACGCUCACCCAUUGAGUGUAAUUUUAAUCAGGGCCAGUGCACAGUCUAAUUAGAGGAGGGCUUCUAAUUAAACACAUUAUGAGAAGGAGAAAGAAGAGGACCCUCAGGACAGAGAGGUGUUGCUUGUUCUCAUUUGAAGAGGUGACACUAAUUGGUCUGGAUUAACAAUCUGGAGACUCGCAGCAACUCAAAAGUAACUCUGAAGCAUCGUGAUUUACAGGCCUGAGCUGAUGAAGAAGUGGAUCCCCGUUAAAGGUGGGGUAGGCAGGAUUCCGUUAAAGACGCAUCUUUUCUUGUGGUUUAUAUACAAAAAAUGCUUUUAAUAUCAGUCAAAAGCUAUUAGUUAUUGAUGACAUUUGGGAUUUUACCGAUAUCGCUUUGUUCUCAUGUCUGUAUAGUCAACAUUUUAACAUUUUUGAGCGGCCCGCUCUUUCUGACUGUAAACAAAGCCGUUCUCCGCCUCCCCUAACCUGAUUGGUUGUGAGGCAGACGCUGCUCCCUUAUGUUGUGAGGAACACUCCACGUCUUUGUUCAAACAAAGUUAGCGUGCAACAAUAUCGGACAGUAGAAACCAACCAGAAAGUACAGAAAAUUGUCUGAAUCCUCCUUUGGCCACGACUGCCAACACAAGCAAGAAAACAAAGUUAAUACUGGAGACUCUGGUGGAAAAACGGGCGCUUAAAAAGGAGGUAGACCACUCGGACAAGAGCUAAAAAGCUGGGUCAACAUCAUAGACGAUGGGGGAUGCUUCAGGAUCUCACAGACCCUGUAACCUUUCUGCUAGACAGGUAAACCGCUUUAACAAAGUAAGCCAAGUGUCUGUAACUGAAGUGUUUCUUGUCAAACGGGACCUGCUGUAGCGUGUUGUAGCGCCACUAAACUGUUUAACUCAGAUCCUGGACUAUGUCACUUUAUCCUAGUUGUAGAAGUCCUACAAACAUUGUGUUUGCUGGUAGUCUGUUGGCAUCUACAGUCGCACCAAUGCUGUUUACUUUCACGUUGACUGGGCUCCAUUUGUAAUUAUCUGAAGUAUUUAUCUGCAUUAUAUCUGAAUUUAAUUGAAACGAUACGAGCGAGCAGGAGCGUCUGUUUGUGGGCGGGGCUUGCUGGAGCAGAGAGGGAGGGGAGAGGAGGAGCUGAGGGGAAAACUGGGUGGGAGGGGGUAGAGUUUAUAUUCAAGAUUUCUCCCAAAAACUGGCACUUCCUCAGAUCCUGCCUACCCCACCUUUAAAAACUCACACUGACCGGCUUAAUAAGUCGUUUUCUUCCUGGCGCAGACGGUUGCCAUCAACCCUUUUAAAAAAUAUAUAUUUCUUUUGUUACAUCAGUAAAUGUUUUAUUUGUACUUCUUUUUCCAGAAGAUUACUUCAUUUGCACGAUAAUUAAGCUUUUGUAGGAGUGAACAGUUUCACCACUCACGUCACUGUUGACAUUUUACACUCUAGAUUAAUUGUCCCCUGAUCGUAAUGCUUUGUCAUAAUUUACAUUUACAUCAACUUGCUGCUAGUCAAUUAACAGUAUGUAAAAGCAGUUAUUUUCAGGUGUUACCUGCUAAGAAGUAAUUAGGUAUGAGAUUCAGCACAUUAACAAACACCCAUUUAGGAAGAGAGCAUUUUACUAUUCCUAACUUAAGACACAAUUUAAAAAGAGGAGGUACAACAGUUCACAGUGGAGGAAGAGGGUUUUUCUUCCACAAAUAUAUUAUAGAACCAACAUUUUUAAUAUCAUAAAUGCUGCAUACAAAUAUGAAUACUACUUUUAAUCCAAAAUCUGGAAUAACAAUAUGAAGCACCGUGGUUUGGGUAUAAAUCUGCAGCUGCUUUGUCUCAUAAUUUUUGUAACUUACAUAUUUUUGGCACAAAGGUACUUUAAAGAGAGUCAAAGCAUGUUCUUCCAGUUUCUUUUGGUUAAUAAGAUUAAAUCAGGAGACGUACACCUGCCACCACAGAUCCAGUAUCUUUAAAAAUGAUAAAAAGAAAAGGUGCAGCGGGAACAUUUAUAGAAAAGACCUUUGUGACAGCAGCUUCUUCAGUCUGAAUAGAAAACAGUCUCAGAGUUACAGUGCUGCGUCAGUCUCUAUGGUUCAUACUCAAAGGGAAAACAGAUGAGCUUAGCACGGUUUUCACUUUUUAUUUUCUCUUUUUAAGACUUUCUUUUAUUCAUCAACCACAGUGUCCUUUGGAUGAGCUCUCCUCUGUACUGUACUGACUUCCCUUCAAUCCCCACUCACACGGACGGGAAGAAAUGGUGUCCAUUUUUUAACACUGUGGAUAUGAUGACAGUGUGUGUGUGUGUGUGUGUGUGUGUGUGUGUGUGUGUGUGUGUGUGUGUGUGUGUGUGUGUGUGUGUGUGUGUGUGUGUGUGUGUGUGUGUGUAUUGAGUGUGUGUGUGUGUGUGUGGUCUGCUCAGAUUAAAGGCUGUCAGAAAGCCUAAAGAUCAGCGCCUUUGUGGAGCACAAAUCUGAUCCGUCACUGGAAAAGCCACACAGUUUUUUUUUUCAUGGUGGAGAUAGAGAGCUCUGCCACUCAUCUCUUAUUUUUCUACCUGAGUUAUUUGAGUCAUGGAGGCUUUUAGAACAAAGGUACAUUUAUUGAAGCAUAAGUGCAUUACUCACCUGAGCGUCUCUUUG